Molecule: long non-coding RNA, 46555 nt
Filed under: Triticum aestivum (bread wheat)
Lineage: Eukaryota; Viridiplantae; Streptophyta; Magnoliopsida; Poales; Poaceae
Description: long non-coding RNA (TAES_LNC020194)
Source: RNAcentral
AAUCUUAUAGUUUCCUUCCCUCCUUUUUUGCGGGAUAACCCUAUAGUUUCCUUCUCUCCUUUUUUGCGGGAUAACCCUAUAGUUUCCUUUUCUCUUUUUUGCCGGAUAAUCCUAUAAUUUCCUUCUCUCUCUCUUUUGGGGGGUAAUCCUAUAGUUUCCUAUAAUUUGAUGCUUAACACAGUAUGCUUGUGUUCCUUCGAUUUCAGGUGAGAUUAACUAAGGAAGCUAUCUGUAUUUGGGGCAAAAUGUUGUGACAUAAACCAGCUCCAUCAACACUCGGUUUAAUUCCCUGGUACAUUAAUCUCUCUUGCUUGGGAGGGGCGUUUUGCCUCCCGGGAGCAUUUGCUUCUAGAUGAACAGUGCCGAAAAAAAGUGGUAAUAUGUUUUUAAAAAAUUCUAAAUUUUUUGUGAAUGUUCGCGUUAGUGUCGAAAACAUGCUUGACAAUUUUCAUGCGAAACGGAGCAGUAGUGUUUCUUCGGUGAUUAAAAACAAAUUUGAGAUGACAUUUUGAUGUAACAUUUGGUGUUCAAAUUUGUUUUUUUGCACAGGCCAAAAUGUUUAACCUUUUGCCUAAAGAUUUGCAUGUAGCAUUUGGAUGUGACUAUAAAUACAUAAAAAUAUCUGUUGUGAUUUUUUUGGCAUUCAAAAAUUGUUUUUCGUGCAGGAACACGUGAUCCCGGGAGCCAAAUUGGAUUUCCGCUCUUGCUCUUAUUUUCAUGAUAGUAUAUAUAUAUAUAUAUAUAUAUAUAUAUAUAUAGUGUUACUAUUCAUCAUCCAGGGUGCAGAAUAAGUUAUUCUUCACCCGAGGUAAUCUUACGAUCAUUUCAUAAUUAAAUUACGUUUAGAAUUCAAAUAGUUACAUUCCUAUUGAUUCACUACGUAAAAUUUGACAUAAAAAAAUAAAAAUAUAGGUCAUAAGACAAGAAAAUUUGUAGUUUAUGUGUAUUUUAGACUAUGUUUUUAUGUUUGUAAUUUUACAUAACAUAAAAUAUUUUUUACGGCGAUUAUAUAUUUUCUUACGGUCUCUUUUUACGUCGAAAAUAAGACANNNNNNNNNNNNNNNNNNNNNNNNNNNNNNNNNNNNNNNNNNNNNNNNNNNNNNNNNNNNNNNNNNNNNNNNNNNNNAUAUAUUUGUGUGUGUGUGUGUGUAACUAACUCAAAAUGGCCUAAAACUAAUGUUUUUUGUUCUACCGCGACAACCCGUUUUUGCUGGCAUGACAUCUUCUUCCACAGGAAUCGAAUUCCGUUGCCAUGGUAGCAUUUUUCUGUCAUGGCAUCCUAUUUUCUCUCUGUUGCAGCCCACGAGCAAUCUCCUUGUUAUUUCAAAAAUAACUUUGAUCAUUAGUUUCACCACAUAACGUAGGUUACAUGUCAUAAAAGUUAUACCAUUGAAUUAGUGUUGAAAUGUACGGUACAUUCUUUGUGACAAAAUGUUUACAUAUUGUUGUGAUGAAAUUUAUGAUCAAAGUUUAAACAUGCAAAACAAGAGCAUUAGAGCAACCCUAGCAAAGUUGUCAUAUCAGACAAUCGGCAUAAUAAUCAUUGUUAUGGCGAUUUUGGGCCAAAAUAACAUUGUAGCAGAGUCGGCAUAUGCCCCCCGAUCGGCAUAAUUUAUAGAGAAUGCGUUGUAUCCUGCCUGUGAGCCUCCAUAUUUGGAGGUUGUGAGCAUUGGUUUGGAGCACUCGGCAUCCGUCAACCGCUCGCGUGGGAAGGAAGUUUCACCCUAGAAUGUUCCUCCCAUUUUUCACCAGAGCGUGCCCGUUUGCGGGUACAUAAACCCCCAUCCACCCCCUUCGCUAGCGCCACCACAUUCACCGUCUACCCCCAUCCCCGUCGUCGGCACACUAACCCCAUCGACCCGCUUUGUCGUCUUCCACCCCACGCCCUCUCUUCCCCCAUUACCAUAUCGAUUCCAUUGCGCCCUCCCCACAGACCUUUCCCCGGCGAGACCAAACGGGGAUGCGCUGAGAGAUAGUUUCGACAGAGGGCGUGGGACCUCUUAGAGUGCGUCGAGGAUGACGCACGUCAUAAGGCUGGAUCAACUGUCGGUCGCGCCCGCCUCUCCUCCUCCCUUUAGUACUUCGACCAUAUCAAUGGUCGUCUGCCCAUAAAUGGAGGCCACACUCAGAUUGGCCUUAAAAAAUGAUGGUGUAUCCCGCAUCCAGGACGCACGGGCAUUCGUUGAUCGAUGGAAGUCAUGGGAUCCAAAAUAUUCAUUGCAUAAUUAACAUAUGAGCAUCACGACCGUAAAUCCAUAGACUGUUAUUCAGUUGCAUCUAUAGCUAAUACUCCAUCCAAGGCAAAGCACAUUUGGCUCUCGGGUGUAGGUGCACCCUGUAUGGGAAAAUAAAAAAAAUAAAAGUCAAAAAGUUACUCCCUCCAUUAUUAUUUACUCCGCAUAUUGGAUUUGACCUAAGUCAAACUUUAUAAAGUUUAACCAAGUUUAUCGAAAGCAAUCUAAACUUCCACAAUAACAAAUAUAUAUGGUAUGAAAAUAUAUUGAAUGGUGAUUCUAAUGGUAUUGAUUUGGUAUUGUGGAUGUUAAUAAUUUUUUGUAUAAACUUGAUCAAAGUUUAGAAAGUUCAACUUGAGACAAAGAUAAUAUGUGAAGUAAAUAAAAACGGAGGGAAUAUGAAACUUUGGGGAACAAACUUGACCUUCUGUUGUGUUCAUAUGAAAAGUUUCACCAAUGAAUGACUUUCAUUGUAUUUUGGGUGGGAAAAAACAAAAUCAACACUGCAUAAGUUAGUAGUCACCCUUUUUGUCUUUGAAAUUUUGAAAUUUUUUUAGGGGAAAUUUUUGAUUUUUCCUGAAGUUGAUGAGAUUUUUUUUUCUUUGCGGAGCUUUUUAUAUGAGAGGUCAAGUUUCUUUCCCAAAAAGUUGCGAAUUUUUUGACUUUCCCGAAUUAAUAUUUUUUGACUUUUCUGAAUUGGUUGCACGUCUCUCUCUUCCCUCACGCCCUGUAGACUGUGUCUCUGGUAAAAAGUUUUGUCACAUGCAUGCUCAGUCUGUCUCACCGUCUCACGCGCAUUGUCCCUAAAAAGUUUUGUCACAUGCAUGCUCAGUCUCUCUUGAAAGCUCUCUCACAUGUUGCACAUGCUCGCAUGAUGUUUCCUUGCUUACAUCAGCCACCAUGAUGUCAUAUAUCUAUCAACCCACAUAUUUUUGAGAUAUCUUCACUGGUUUGCUGGGUGUUCAUAUGGGAUGCAAAUCCAAGCGCUGUAUUUUGAAGGACUUAUAUCAACCCACAUAUUCGUUUUCACUUGUUAACUUUUAGUUUAAAUCUCAAUCAUUACACUUAAUCAAGGGAUUAGAUAAUUUUACCUAUGUCUAUCAGGGUGGUGGCUUGUUUUCUCUUAUUUCAUAUUUUGGGCGGAUGGAGUAGACAGAUCCGUUCCAUAAUGUAGUAUGUAUAAAGUUUUUGAAAAGCAUACUUUAUAAACUUUGACCAAGUUUACAGAGAAAACUAUUUAUUUAUAUAUAUAUAUAUAUAAUAUUAAUUAUAUAAAAUACGAAUACAUCUUAUAAUCACUCUAAUGAUAUAUGUUUGGCAUUUUAGAUGUAAAUAUUUUUCUUCAUAAACUUGGUCAAAAUUUGUGAUGUUUGACUUUUUAAAAAUACACAUGCACUGCAUUAUGAAACAGAGGAAGUACAGGGAGUACAUAAUAGGCUGAUAAUAUUAAAAUUCACAAUGUAUAAAGUUAGUACAAAGUUGAGUCACUUAUUUUAAGACAAAUGGAGUACUAUAUUUGAAUAUCAGGUAAUUUACACUCGGCAUUAGGCUAUACAAUGAAUUUUCCUGUAGUGUACCAUUCCCUUAUAACGACCCAUCUACCAAAUAUGAGUUUAAGAAGUAUCCAUAAACUCAGGGUACGGUGGAGUGUAGUACUUCAACGUCGACCCUGAAACCACUCGUAUCUUUUUGGAUGCAGUUGUUUCAACCCGGCAAGCUAUCCAACACCGAAAUUCAUCAGUACACGUCGCAGUUCGGACCCUAAGGGCUUUGCGGAAGUUCGGACACGAGUCACAUAGGACUCCGACACCCCGGCCCAUUCAAAACUGAGGCGGAUCCCGCGCCUUUGUAGUUGGUUGCACUGUUUUCGCGGCAAAAUCCCUCUAUCUCUUUUUCCAUCCAACCACUCUUCACCUAAUUCCCGUUCUUUUUUGCCCACUCUCUUCUUCCCUCCCGCCUCUAACGCAUGGACUCGGAGGAGAACCUGUGUAAAAGAUGUUGGUGGUGGAGGAUCCUAGCAUCACGCUCCUCCGGAGAUGAGAAAUCCGGCGGCCGAGAAGAAGCUCAUGCUCAAAGAGAAGAAGGUCAUGCUCAAAGAGAAGAAGCCAUGCUCGACGAGAAGAAGGUGGAGAUUGCAGCCACUUCGGAGGACGCGAAGAUGCUACCUUGAAGAUGGGAAUUUAGAUAAGGACACAAGGAUGAUCGUGUAAGCCAUCCAUUUCAAGAUGCUACAGCGGCAGAAGGAUGAGUUGGAGAGGGCGGAUGCGACAGAGAAGGACGUGGCAUCGUCCGAGAAGGCGGCAGCGAUAGAUUGAGCAUGGAGGCUCGAAUUGCCAGUACAGCAUGGCAGAAAAUUUAUUUUUUGUUGCAUAAACUACCGGACUAGUAUUUUUUCUAUGAUCGGGCAUGUAAAAAACUAAACAUAUUUGCCUCUUUUUAUUGUGCUUGGGCGAUGAUGUGAUCUUUUCAGGCGGAUUUGAAUUUCAAAUUUAUUUUGCUAGCGGGCAGUAUGCAGAUAGUUUUAAAUGACUGGCUUCCGCAUCCGUGUCGACGGCUGAUCUCCUGAUCCACAGCAUGCUCGGUUUGUGGGCAACGUUGGAGAUACACUGCAACAUACAGACCACACCAAAGCCCAGUGUCAGAUCCAGAGCUUCAAUAAUGGAGCUCACGAGCUGGCCAUGGCAAUCCCUGCUCCUGUUCAGCACCCUCUCUCUCGUCUUCAUGCUGCAUAGCCGUCGAAAAGGCAAGGAGCUCCCUCCAGGGCCGCCGGCCCUGCUGUUCCUGGUCAAGUUCUUGGCGCUCCGGCGGUCCAUCUUUGACCUUCCUCAGCUCAUACGCGAGCUGCACGCGCGCCAUGGCCCAGUAAUCUCCGUGCGCGUAUUCCGCCCGCUCGUCUUCAUCUCCGACUGCCACCUCGCUCACCGUGUCCUCGUCCAGAGCGGCGCGACCUUCGCCCACCGCCCGGACAUCUUCGAGCCGGGACUUCUGUUCACCUCCGGCGCCCGCAACAUCAAUGCAGCGCCGUACGGUCCCUACUGGCGCCUCGUCCGCCGCAACCUCGCCACCGUGAUGUUGCACCCGGCCCGUGUCAGCCUCUUCGCGCCGGCGAGGCGGCGGACGCGCGACGGGCUCGUCGGCGACCUCCUCGCAGUCGCAGGCUCGCGGCCCGUCACGGUGAGGCCAUUGCUCCGUCGAGCCAUGUUCGAGCUUAUCGCGUACAUGAGCUUCGGCGCCAGGCUUGGCCCGGAGGUGCUGGACGAGAUACAGGAGCUGCAGCUGUGGAUUGUGCGUAGCAUUCUCAGCUACCCCAUCUUCUACCUCUGCCCAUCCCUCACCAAGAGGCUCUUCCGCAAGCGGUGGGCUGUGCACCUGGCCGUGCGCCGGAGGCUGUGCGAGAUCUUUGUCCCGCUGAUCCACGCCAGGCGGGCGCGGGACGAGGAGACGCCGGCGCCUUGCUACGCCGACUCCCUCCUCGCGCUGCGAGUGGCCGAGGAGGGCGACCGCCCGCUGACGGACGACGAGGUGGUCAGCCUGUGCUCCGAGUUCUUGAGCGCCGGGAAUGACGGCACGGCGACCGUGCUGGAGUGGAUCAUGGCGGAGCUUGUAAACCACCCCGAAAUGCAGGCCAGGGUCUACGAGGAGGUCAGGAGCAAGCCGGAGCUAAGCGAGGGCGACCUGCAGGCACUGCCGUAUCUGAACGCCGUGGUGCUGGAGGCGCUGCGGCUGCAUCCGCCGGUGCACUUCCUCAUCCCGCACGGCGUGCAGAGCGACGGCGCGGAGAUCGGCGGCUACAGGGUGCCCAGGGGCGCGGAGGUGGGGCGCGACGAGACGGUGUGGACGGCGGCGCGGGAGUUCCGCCCGGAGCGGUUCUUGGACGGCGGCGAGGGGUGCGACGUGGACAUCACCGGGAGGAAGGAGAUCAAGAUGAUGCCGUUCGGCGCCGGCCGCAGGAUUUGCCCCGGGUACACGCUCGGCAUGCUUCACGUGGCGUACUUGGUGGCGGGCCUCGUGAGGGAGCUGGAGUGGCUGCCGCCGGCGGACGGGGAGCAGGUGGACAUGGCCGAGGUACUGGAGUUCAUCACGGUCAUGAAGCAGCCCCUCCGUGCCCGCACCAUCCCAAGGUGUUGAAGACUAGUCCGCUGCCCUAUCUGCUGCACUACAUUUACAUUUACAAUCAGCAGCGUCACUUGACGAGCUUACUGGAGAAAAUGGAAGAUCUAAUGUAAUUUUUAUUAUGUAAGAUAUUUUGUAUUUCCGAUGAAUUUUUAUAAUAGAUUUAAUUCUCUUCGUAAAACAAAAUGUACGUUCUAUGUACGUACUACAAUCAGCAGUAGCUUGAAAUCUUUGCAGAGCAUGUAGGCUGGUUGACCAGGUCUCUCAAAAAUGGAUUCUACGUACAUGAUGUUUGGUGUUACAAAAGCAAGCAGGGAUAUUUCUUCUUGGAAAGACACGCGAGUCUUUUCGAGGAAAGACAUAUUGAAGUAGAAUUAAAAGAAGCACAACCCAUAAAUUAACAUGUCACAAAUAUAGUUUGUAACUUUUAAAAAAAUGCGAACAUUGAAAUUGCCUUAGCUGCAUUACAAAUCUAAUAUACUAAAAUUUAACAUUUCAUUUGUAUGCACUUCUACAACAAUUGAACUUUGCAACUCUAUGAAUUUUAAGAUGGUCCCUUUUAGAGGAUCUCCAACAGCUUCCGAAAAACCUUCCCAUGUGAGUGUUUAUUAGAGCUCUUCCAAAAAUGUAUUGGGUUUCAUAUGUGUAACAAAUUCCAAUACAACUUCUUCUAUACUUAGCUUUAUUGAAUUGAUGCUCCAGCCAACUCAUCCUAGUACAGUUCACUGGACUGCAGUUAAAAGAAUCUUGAGGUAUCUAAAGUUUACAAUGGGACUUGGAAUUAAAAUUAUCAAGUCGCCAUCUAUGCUAGUAAGUGCAUAUUCCGAUGUAGACUGGGCAGGGUGUGUUGAUGAUAGAAGGUCUACAGGUGGAUCUGUUGUGUUCUUGGGAUCGAAUCUUGUGUCAUGGAAUGCAAGGAAACAGGCUACAGUUUCAAGAUCCAGUACGGAAGCAGAGUAUAAGGCUCUUCCUAAUGCUACAACUAAGAUCAUGUGGAUUCAGACUUUGCUUUAUGAACUGGGAAUAAAAACUCCACAAGUCGUAAGGUUAUGGUGUGAUAAUAUUGGUGCAACCUAUCAUUCAGCAAAUCAUGUAUUCCAUGCACGUACAAAGCAUAUAGAAGUUGACUUUCAUUUUGUCAGGGAAAGAGUAGCUCGAAAGCUACUAGACAUCAGAUUCAUUCCUACAGGGGAUCAGCUAGCGGAUGGAUUUACUAAACCUCUCACAAUGAGAUGACUGGAUGAAUUCAAAUACAAUCUGAACCUAGACAAAGCUCCUUAAGUUUAGUUUGAGGGAGGAUAUUAGACGGAUAGGUAGCUUGGGUUUAAACAUGUAAUCUCUUUCUAUCUCUUUCUCUGUUCUCCCUCUUGUAUCGGUCUCCUUGAACCAGGACACAUCCUAGCGAUCGUUCGUAACUUGUACGCCACGGCCAGCUAUCGCCUCAAUCAAUAUAACCCCGUGGUCUGCUACGGCAGGUAGAUACGCUUCCAUAUUUUACAGGCCUGACAUAUAUGCCCCCACUGGCCAGUCUCUAAUCCCUCUCACUUUCUCUCUUACAUGAUAGAAGGCACUGAUGGCGGCGAUGAGGCAGGCUGACGGCGUUAAGGUGGAGACAGGCAAUGACGAGGUGAUGAGUGUCGGUCCGUGGUGAGGUGAGGCAUGCAUGGGUGGGAAACGACGAUGAUGCAGCCGCCGUCACGACGGGUACGCCGAGGCUGCCUGCGACAUGGCAUGGACGGCAGCGAGGCGGGACGUCCACUGAUGAUGGCUGGCACGCGCAAAGGCGUGAAGGUUUAGGCGGUUGCCUCCCGCCGUCAAUUGGAUUAUAGAGGAAGAUGGGUUUUUUGUGAUCAUCAAUUUUUUGGGGGUAAAUAGAAAUUAAUACAAUAACCCCUUAUAGGAUUUAUAUAUUAGCGGCGUGCCAGUAAAUUCUCAUAAAAGGUGUGCUAACUUACAUAUCACGGGUCUGGUAACUUGGGUACCUUCGGGCAUGAUAACUUUUAAACCAAAAAACGUCGUCGGGAGAUACCAACACGACAUCUAGUUUCGAAGAUCUCGUCCUGGCAGAUUUGAUGAUGAAAUUGAAUUUUGAAUCGGACCGAUGGUUUAAGCUACACAACAUUUUUGGAUUUUCGAAAUGAGGAUAAUAUAGGAUGACGUUAGUUUUUUUUACUCUAGUGCAUGCAUGCAUGUGCACAUGGGAGAAGGUUGGGAACUUUUUUUUAUUGUCUGCUAGAUUCUGUUUGAAUAACAUGGUAACUUACGUGUCAUAAACAUAAGGAAAACGUUUACUACCGGCGCACCGGCCGAAGCUUUCGGCCGGUCGCGUCCAGGCGCGCGAAGCUACAACGACUGAAGUUGGGGAUAGGCGGAUCCACCACGUUAUCUUUUUCCCCACCUUCCAUCUCCCGCAUCCUUCUCCUUUCCUUUUACCUGGUCUUUUUUCUCUCCCCUCAUCCUAGCUUCCAUGGAAGUCCUGCUCGGCGAUNNNNNNNNNNNNNNNNNNNNNNNNNNNNNNNNNNNNNNNNNNNNNNNNNNNNNNNNNNNNNNNNNNNNNNNNNNNNNNNNNNNNNNNNNNNNNNNNNNNNNNNNNNNNNNNNNNNNNNNNNNNNNNNNNNNNNNNNNNNNNNNNNNNNNNNNNNNNNNNNNNNNNNNNNNNNNNNNNNNNNNNNNNNNNNNNNNNNNNNNNNNNNNNNNNNNNNNNNNNNNNNNNNNNNNNNNNNNNNNNNNNNNNNNCUUCUUCUCCGGCGAGUAUCCCCGAAGCCAACCCCUGAGCCAGUGUCCUCCCCUCUAUUCCCUCUCUCACCUCCAUCUACUACUGCUCCGUGACGGCUGGAGCUGCAACGGACGUGGCCGGCGAAGUUGCGUCCAUGGGCGGAGCUGCACCUGAAGAAGGUGCUACAACCAGCAUCCGCCCGAGCUGGUGAAGGCGACCACAGGUGUUGCAACUAGCGAUAAAAAAAUCUUCAACCAGAAGGACGAUGAAAGCUGGGUCGGUCCCAUAGAAGCUGCAACCGGCGUCUAAGAAAGCUACAUCCGUUGAUGGAAAAAGCUUCAACUGACAACAGAAAAGGCUUCAACCGGUGGCGACAUAAGCUACAAACGAUGUGAAAAGCUACAACCGGCUACGGCGAAGCUGCAACCCAUCGCCAGUUUUGCUACAACCAGCCUUUUGUGUUUUGCUAGAAACCAGCGCUCACUCCCCGACCAUGGCCGACGACCCCCAAGUGUGCUACAACCAGUGACCAAAAGUGCUACAACCGGUAAGAAAAUUUGCUACGACGGGGCGAAGCUGAGGUGCUGCAACCGGUGACAGGCCAGAGCUAUGAACUGCGACCACCGGUCCGGCGAGCAGCGACCGUGGCAACGAUGAGACGAUGGUUUUUGCUUCGAGCACGUCUUGAUUUUGCUACUACCGGGUAACGUUUUUGCUACAUGCUUUGUACACAGAAAACUACAACCAUCGACAAAAAAUGCUACACCCUUCCAUGAAAAAAGCUUCAACGGAAACCAUGGAGAAAGCUUUUCAACCACGCACUGAAAUGAAAAUAGUUUCAAUCAUUUAUAGAAAAGCUUCUACCGUAGAGGGAAAAAGUUUCAACCAUUGAGAGAGAAAGCUAUAACCAGACUCUGUACAAUCAGAAAAGUUGCAACCGUUGACAGAAAGCUUCAAUCAUAUGUGCGAAAAGCUUCAACCUGGUGACCGGGGGUGGGCAAGAUGAAGAUGCUACAUGUUGGUUUUUGCUGGAACCAUACUUUUUUUGCUACAACCGGUGGACAUUUUUGCUGCUACAGACAAUCCGAGGAGAGAUGCAUCCUUUUGUGAGCUCGCCGUCUAGGCUUGUGUCCGGCGAACCGUCGUCACCGGAGCGUGGCUGUCAUGCACUGGAGUUGCGAGCGGUGUCACCGGAGCUGCAAGCCUGCAACCAUGGGCGCAUGCUGCUGCAUCCACAAAGGGGAGAAACACAUGAGGUGACACAGGUGACGGCGGCAACCGGCGGCGAGGGCGGCGACCGGCGGCGAGGGCAGCAGCCGGUGGUGAGGAAGAUGAGGAGACGCGGGAGGUGGUCGGCGCGAGCGGGGGCGGUCAGCGCGUGCGAGGCGGUCCUCUCCCUUUUCCAGCACGGGAGGUUGACGAUGGGAGAAAGGCGAGGUCAGAUUUGACGGUUAUGCGCGUUUAGAUCCUACCGCUCUGGGCCGACCGCCGAGUAAUUGGGCCGGCGCGGGCGCCCAGCGUUGCCCUAAACAUAAUAAGUUACGUAGCCCAGGAGUGAUAGAUUCUGUUCAAAAUUUCCGUCCGAGAGAUAAAACAUUUUGAAUAUUUAGACUAGAAAGAAUCUUUUUGUCGACAUUGCAUGCAUGCCCAGAUUCAAUGUGCUCCCUCGAUGGGAAGGGACGCGCGGGUUAGAGCAUCUCCAGCCGCGCCCCCAACAGGCCCUCCCCAGGCGUUUUUGCCACGCCGGCACCAAAAAACGGCCCAGUCGCGCCCCCAGGACGCCAAAAACAUCGGCUCGGGCCUUUUUUCCAUCCGGCGAUCACAGGACGAACCCGGCGCACUGGGGGGCAGUUGGGGGCUCCGGCGCAAGGGAAAAGCGCAGCUGGCCCACGCCGUCAGGGGAAAAGUCAAGGUUUUCUUCCCCGACUCGCCUCCCACCCCCCGCGCCCUCGGCCGCCAGUAGCUUUAUCCUGGUGCCGCCCGCCGCCUUUCACCACUAGAUAGCCAUUCCACGCCGAAAAAAUAGCAGAGCUUCGCCGCGGCAGCCCCUCCAGCACCAAUUGGGCGUUUCCGGCCGCGGAGGGGCAGUUUAGCGGCGGGAACACGCCCACCGGGCGCAAGGUGUUCGGCGAUUUGCCUGCCUCGGCGAUGGACUCGGAUGACGAGGAAGCGCUCGCCGCGCUGCUGGAGGAGGAAGCCGAGGCCGCCGUUCAGGAAGAAGAGCAUCUCAUGGUGCUCGCCGCCCUCGCCCAGCUGCUGGCGAGCAAUGAAAAGCCGCGACGAGGUGGCUCGGCGCCGGGGAGGGUGAAAGCAAAGAACCGGCAUCGUUUCGAAGGCUACUGCAUGCUCUACUCCGACUACUUCGCCGAUGCUCCACUUCACGGCGAGAAAACAUUUCGGCGCCGUUAUCAGAUGAGCCAAAAGCUCUUCCUCGGGAUUGUGAAUUCCAUCCGGGAGUUCGACAACUACUUCAAGUGCAAGAUGGAUUGCACUGGCGCACUUGGAUUCACCUCCAUCCAGAAGUGCACGACAGCGAUGAGGAUGCUUGCAUACGGAGCUCCCGGUGAUUCACUCGACGACUAUGGGCGCAUGGCCGAGUCCACCAGCAUAGAGUGUUUCUACAAGUUCUGUCGGGCAGUGGUGGCAGUGUUUGGACCGUAAUACUUGAGAACACCCAAUGCGGAAGACACUGCUCGGAUCCUAGCACAGAAUGCAGCAAGAGGAUUUCCUGGGAUGCUUGGAAGCAUCGACUGCAUGCAUUUGAAAUGGAAGAAUUGCCCAUUUUCUUGGCAGGGGAUGUACAAAGGCGCCAAAGGCGGUUGCAGUGUGGUACUUGAGGCGGUGGCCACACUGGACCUCUGGAUUUGGCACUCCUUCUUUAGUAUGUCAGGAACUCACAAUGACAUCAACGUGCUGCAGUGCUCUCCUGUCUUUGCCAAGCUUGUUGAAGGUCAUUCUUCUCCGGUGAACUUCGAGAUCAAUGGGCGGCACUACAACAAGGGGUACUAUCUAGCUGAUGGCAUCUAUCCCAGAUGGUCGACAUUUGUGAAGACGAUCUCAAACCAUGUGCCAGGAGGCAAGAACGCCUAGUUUGCGAAGGUUCAGGAGGCUUGCAGGAAGAUUGUCGAGCGGGCAUUUGGUGUGCUUCAAUCUCGAUUUGCUGUUGUCCGGUACCCCGCUCAGACCUGGUCGAAAGAUCAAAUGUGAGAGAUUAUGACUUGCUGUGUCAUCUUGCACAACAUGAUAAUCGAGAGCGAGCAAGAAGACCUAGUGUUUGACACUGAACCAUACUACAGACAGGGUCCUCUAGCCGAAGUUGAUCCCCAGCUACCGGCAACCUGGACUGCCUAUCUCAGUAUGCGUCAGGAGAUCCGAGACCCACAGGUGCAUCAUCAACUGCAGCAAGAUCUGAUAGAGCAUCUAUGGAGGCUCAAGGGCGACGCCGGGCGCUACGUGUGAUGAAAUAUGAGUUUUUAUUUGUUGAACUAUAUAAUUUGUAUUGAACUAUUUGUUGUUGUACUAUUUUGUUGUAGUAUUUGAUAUUUCUGUGAUAAAAUAUGUGAUAAAAAAAUUUAUGUGCAUAAUUGAACGCCAAACAACGGCGAGCCACACCGCAUAUGGGCCCUUUAUUCACCGAAAUGGGGCUGAAAAGUGUGCCAAUUUCGGCGCCUGAGGGCGACGACUGGGCGCGAAACCACCCCCAGCGUCGAUUGUAUCGCCGGCUCGUCAGAGGGCGAUUUUUAUGCGUCCUGGGAAGCGAACGGCUAGAGAUGCUCUUACAUGUGUGAAAAUUCAAAGUCAAGAAAAAAGAAACGCUCGAACCGACUCGCCUUCCUGUCUUGCCGCGAACGAAACGAUCAAGGACGCGGAACCGCCAUCGGCCAGGGCAUCCAUAAAUACGGCCCGGGGCUGACGGCUCAUUCGUUUUCCCCCUCGCCUUCUUCUUCCUUCGCUCCGAUCCGCCGCCCACUCUCAUCUCGACGGUUCAGUUCGAGCUCGAGGCCGCGGCAGCUCGUCCGUGCCAACGUACGUGCCGGAUGCCGUAACUGGCUUCUGUUCCGUACUACGUUACUGCUCUGUUUCUUGCUUCUUUGCAUGAUCGUGAUGCAGAGCAGCAGAGGAGCCAUGAAUCGCGAAACGCCGCCGUGCGUGCCGCGCGUUUUAGCCUUUUCUGAGCCCGCAAAUCACGCCUGGUCGCCGCCGCCGCCGACUGGUCGGACGGGCAGAGAGAAGCACCGCCGGAGAAGAAGAAGAAGAAGAAGAAGAAGAAGAAGCUGGAUCUGGGAGAAGGGAUCAGGAGCACCGCAAAAUGAAAUUCCACCGCUAAUUAUAACCUAACUAAAAAGAAUCUGUUUAACUUCUGGAUUCAGGGUUUGCUUUGCUCAAGCAAGAUUUACAUCUUUCGACGCAUCAGUUCCUUCCCCUCUUUGCAGUUGAUUCGUUUGCUCUGUGAGUAAUGCAUGCGACGGAGAUGAACGUCACGACCAAUUACUGCUUACUACUGCUGCUAGUGCAGGCAUGCGUCUGUGUCACUGAUGAUUCACGGCUUGGAUGGAACGGGCUUCAAAACUUGCCUGCUUUGGUCUAUGCAAAUGCAGCUCCGUUUAAUCACAAGUUUACAGCGCGUCUGUUUUGUUUGCGUCGAUCGAAACAGUAACAAUCUUAACAAAAAUUCGCAGUGCAGGCCUGAACAUCACACUCCCAAAAUCAUUCAGAGUCAUCCAUCCAGACUGGUACAUUUCGAGAUGAGAAGCACAGUCCAUCCUCUUCUUGUUGCGGUGGCGGUGGCGGUGAUGAUCCUGUCGCCGUCGCUGUGCCCCGCAGCCACUGCAUGGGGCAUCUUCUCCUCCUCCCCUAAACCCACGGGCCAGACCGUCGCCGCGCCAACGCUGCCGGACGACGGCGGCGACGGCGGCGGCAGGAUGGUGGUCGACUUCUCGAUGGAAGGCGGCGGCGGCGGACCGAGGGGCGUGGAGCUGCUGGACGGCGCGCGGCGCAGGAUCGCCGGCCCGGCCUCCUGCUGGGGCGAGGCGUACCGCGGCCUCUUCGCCAGCUGCGCCCACAUCAUGGCCGACAAGGAGCGCCAGUCGAGGCUCGCGUGGCGCCUCAGCGCCUGCUACCAGCAGGACUCCGGCCGCCCGCCGCUGCCGCCCUGCGACGACCGCUCGCGCAUGGUGCACUGCCGCAAGCGCCUCUCCGAGCACGAGGAGAAGGUCUUCCUCGAGUUCUUCCUCGAGACCAACACCCUCUGCCACCAGCUCCAGUACGCAAUCAUAUCCAAUCCGCCAUGAUCGUCUUCUUCCUCUUCUUCUUGAUUGAUUUGUGAAUCGUGCGCAGGGCGGAAGCGUUCAAGCAGAGCACGGAGCGGCUGGUGAACGACCUGACCCGGGCGGCAGCGGCGGCGAGCGAGAAGCUGUCGGCGAUCGAGGAGAGGUCGGACCAGAUCAUGCAGGAGUCGAGCAAGCUCCAGGGCUCCAUGUCGUCGAUCGUGUCGCAGACCGAGAACCUGGCCGCCGCGUCCGACAACCUCAAAUCCCGGAUCGGCGACGUGCUGGCGCAGUCGGCGGCCAUAGCCGAGCAGUCGAGGCAGAUCGCGGCGGCGCAGGCGGGGCUGAGGGAAGGGCAGGAGGAGAUGCGGGGCCGGAUCGACGCCGGCAUGGCGCGGGUGGAGGAGGAGUACGCGCGGCUGGGCGAGGAGAUGGUGAGGCUGAAGGAGGAGGCGGCGGGGAUCGAGCGGGAGGUCAGGGCCGUCGGCGACGCCAUGGCGGCGCGGAUGGAGGGCCUGCAGCGCACCGCGGAGGAGAUCGGGACCGCCGCCGGGCAGUCGCUGGAGAACCAGCGGGAGCUGCUGGAGGGGCAGGCGAACGCGACGCGGGCGCUCGGGGAGCUCCACGGCUUCCUGAGCCGGGCGCUGGAGGAGAGCAGGGAGGCGAUGCAGAGGCUGGCGCGGUUCGGGCGGCAGCAGCAGGAGGAGCUGCUGUCCCGGCAGGAGCAGCUCCGGCGCGCCCACGACCUCCUCAUGCGCAACUCGGAGUCGAUCCUCCAGGCCCAGGUCUUCUUCUCCCUCCUCUGGUCUGGUACUCUGGUUUGCAAGACGUGCUGAACCGCCAUUGAUCCGGAGCUCGAUCGGUCGAUGCGCAUGCAUGCAGGAGGAGUUCAGCGCGAAGCAGGCCAGCAUCUUCGCGGCGCUGGACAAGCUCUACGUGCUCCACAACGCCAUCCUCGUGGAGUCGCGCUUCAUCAAGGCCUUCGUCUUCUACAGCUGCGUCGUCUUCCUCCUCUACCUCCUCACCAGCGCCAAGCAGACCUUCGCCAUUAGAGGCCAGCUCUACUUCGGUAACACACAUCUUCUGCAGACUCCGAUCAUCGUUUCCUUCGCUCCAUCGGAUCAUUUCUUCAUGCGUUUCUUGGAUUUGACCAAACCAGGUCUGUGCAUCACGCUCGUGGUGGAGGUCGCGCUCAUCAGGCUGGGGGGCGCCGACGACGACCUCAGCAGGCCGUUCUGGGUCGUGUCCAAGGUGCUGCUGCUCCGGUCGGCGUUCCUCGCCGCCGCCGCCGCCCAGAUCCUGCACGCCAUCUUCGCCUUCAAGUACGGCAGCCCGUGGAAUCCCGAUCUUGAACCGCGGCGUCACAGUACCAGUACGUUGAUCUCAUCUGAUUUUCCAUUUUUAUGCUGCAGGGAUUACGAGGUGCUGAACCAUGAGCUGCUCCAGACGCUGGUGGAGAAAGUCCGGGCGAUCGAAGACAACGCCGCCGGUGAGCUUUUCAUCCGCCGUCCCUUGCCCGCCAACUGGUGUUUGGAUUUUGAAACGUAAUGCUGGCGCCGAAUCUGAACUACUAGUAAGUACUUAUCAUCCUCCUCUGGUCCAGGAGACAAGAUGUGUCCAUGGGGGACAGGCAGUGAUGAUGAAAGUAGCCUCAGCGACUACUCGUGGGUCUUCGACGAGCUGCAGGACGACGUCGACAGCGAAGUCGACCCGGACUUCGUGCUCCGGGAAGAUGACAUCUGCAGGAAGGGCCACGGUUUCCGGGAAGAAAUCGGCGAAAACUCACUCUCAGCGCCGAUCGCCAUGAGGAGAUACAACCUUCGGGCACGCAUUACCCCACGGUGACAGGCACGGAAGUAGAACAUAUAUGUGCAGAAAUAUUGCCCGAAGUUGAAAUUGUUAAAUGUCAGCAUUUUGCUGAAGAACUGAAGGACAAUGCGACAACUUUUUUAUAAACUAAUGUCCAAGUUGUCUGAAUCUACAACUUGUGAAGUCAUAAAGGGAAAACAAAAAGCUUGGACAAAACAUCAGAUUAAAGAAAUAUUCAAUCUAACAUGAAACAUAACUCGAGAAAUAUUCAAUCUAACAAUGAAACAUAACUUGAGAAAUAUUCAAUCUAACAAUGAAACAUAACUUAAGAAGUGUCCAAUCUAACAUGAAAUAUAACUGCAGUAAGAGUUAACAGUAAGUUGCAGUGGCAUGCCAAGUAGACCUAAAAGUUCCAUUACUCACUCAAACGAAUCUAACAUGACAUAUAGCUGCUUGUAACAAAUGAAAAAGGACAACCUAAUGUACAGAAUUCGACUAACUGAGCUCCCUCUCUCCCAUCUAUACACUGCGGUUUGAAAAGAAUCCGUACAUGGAAUGAAUUCAUGGAUCUUGAAAAAAUUCAUCGCUGCUUGCCUUGGUCGUAUAAUCAGAUCUCCCCAGCUUCCAGGAACUGUUGCUGAGUAAAUUGUCCGUAUUGAAGAAUUUCUUAUGCACCAAAUAUCACAUAAUGUAUCACCGAGCACGGGCAGUUGAUGGUUGUUUCGAAGAGCGUCCAGACUUGUGUUUCCGUUUCUGGUUGCCCCCAGGAGGGUCCACCAGCGGUCCAGACCAAGUAGGCACGGUGGUCUUGUCGUACGGAAAUACGGUACUGAAUGAAGACGGGUCUGGGGGCUCAAAUGUAGGUUCCAUGUGAUUCGAACAACCCAACGGAUAGCCGAGUGCACCAUCUUGAUGUGGUGGAGGGAACUUUUCGCUCUUGCUCUUCGCAUUUGCAUGCGUUAUUAGCCUUCUUUUCUGUAAAAGGGUAAAGUUGAGUCCAGAUUAGCAUUUGCAACAGCGGACAUGGCAAGCAGAAAAAAAGGCUCAUGCAGAAAUGAGAAACUGUAGCUGGUAGGGAACCAAGAUAACUUGACAUACGUCGAUAUUUGCUUGAAGUUCAGCAUUUGCCUCUGGUGCUGGAACAGCCCUUGGCCGAUCCCGCGUCCUUGUCUUCCUAGCUCCAUCACCAUUAGGUCUACUACCAGCAGCUCUUAAACUGUUUUUCAUCCAAUGAAUAAGCCAGUAAGCAAUUUAUACAGUGCAAAAGCUCAAGCUUAUAUCAGCCAAUGAACAAGGUCAAGAGGUGGAGAAAUAGAAGAUAUUUACAAAUAUUUUCGGAAAGAAGCUUUAAAUAUACACCAGAAAGGUGAGACAAAUUGUUAUAUGACAGCAUGACUCAUGAUGAUGUCUAAGCAAUUAUUCCCAACAAGCUCCCAGGAAUACAGGAAUCUUGGCAGUUGGCACGAUAGUCGAGACUUACUUUUUAGUACUACAAAUAAGUAUACGGCUAGCACCCACUGAAGUUACCUUUUGAAUUAAAGAAAUGUUAUUUUUCUUCCUUAUAUCCUGCUGUGCUGUACAGUGUUGUCAAGUUAUGCUUUCCUGUUAUCAAGUUCAUCGCAGCAUUCUGCAGAAGUAGGCUCCUACGGCAAACUAGAUUUUAGAAUACUCCUGUAACUGUAUUCCUAACUCUACUCUAUAACUUCCAACAAUUUCUUCGGCACUCUUUUCUCUACUAUCUUAUAUAAAUUGGAGUUUCUCUACUACUAUCUUAUAAUUGGAGUUGGUGGUGGUAGAGACGAGUUCACCUCCCAACUCCAUCCCAAUCCACCUCAUCCAUCCAGGGCCUACCAGAUCCCUUCUGUCCAACAAGCCACCCUGUCACUCAUGUUUUGCAUAGUAAAGUACUCCCUCGGUUCCAAAAUAGAUGACUCAACUUUGUACUAAAGUUAGUACAAAAUUGAGUCAUCUAUUUUGGAACGGAGGGAGUAUUUUAUAAGUACAUGACAUUACAUUAUUCUUUUUCGCGGCAUGAACCAGCCAGUCAAUCCACCAGAGGAUUUUCUUCCUGCAGCGGCUCCUCCCCAAUCCGCAUGCUUCGACUGCUACUCCAAAUUUCCAUUGUCCUAACUUUCAAAUUUCAAAAUCCAACCACGGGUAUGCCGCUGCAAAUCUUACCAUGGUGCUCCCAUGGUCACUGUGGUUACGCAAGUGCAGCGUUGCCUGCUUGAUUGAAUUUCUUUUCUCCACAUUGUUGCAAGUGCAAGUGCAAUUAUUUUUGUGGUUCCAUAGCAACGCACGGGCGAAUGCUAGUUUGUUUCAACGGCCCAUCUAUGCCAUAUGACUCUGACUGUGCAUGCUUUCUCAAACCACUACGGCCCUGUUUGGUAGCAAAGUAUUUUCUAAGUUUUCUGUGAAUACUAUAGUUUUUUUGAUUAUCACAGUUUUAUUUACAGUGAGCUGUUUGAUUGCCCCUAAAAACUGUGGUUUUAAUACUACAAUAUCGGCAAAACUGCAGUUUUUUCUCUGCAUAAAAAAAAGAACUCAAGACCUCUUUUUUUAAAACUGAGCAACCGAAAAGAACAAUGCAAUGCGUCUAGCUUGGCUGUGCGGUUGUAGUUUGUGCAGCUUUAUGACAUGGUGAAGUUGCUGCCGGCUACGCCAUGCUGCCGGGUGCCCUCUUUGGUAACCUACAAGCCCUGAGCGUUGGUGUUCAGUGGAGGUCACUUUGUGCUAUCUUCCGUUCUUAUGCAUCCAGAUGGCAACGACUAGCUAGCUAGAAAAAUGGCUGCUCUAUUGCUGUGUACAUGGCCGUUCUUAGUCUGGUCAGGCAUGCAACUACGCUGGUAAACUGAAUUGUUCGCUAGCUAGCAUUUUUAAGUCGCUGCACCAAACAGGUUCUCAGUAUCGUGAAUACUCUGAAAUAUUAUGUUGUGUCAAAACCACGGUAUUUGAUACCUACAGGAUAAAUUACUGUAGUUUUUUGAUACUUUGGUUUUUACAAUACUUUACAUGUUUACAUUUCUAUGUUGUGAAGAGCUUAAUGACAUUUUAGAGCAUCCACAAAGAUAAGGCAAACGCAAAUGCAGAAAAUCAACACAAGUUUCUAAGGGAAGGAAGGAGUGUUAGGAUGACAAACCGUCUAGCUUCUUCAUCUCUUCGUUUUGCAUCCAUCUCUUUGCUUGGUGGGUAUUGGGGCAGACUUGAUGGAUCACAAGCCCGAGGUUCCGUUUUAAAGAACUGUGUUGGUAGUGUAAAUAUAUGUAAGUUAUCAAAUACGGUGUAACAACAAGGAGCAGCAAUGUAGAUACUUCAUAAAAAAAUAAUUAAAUAACUAGCCCUCUACCAAAGUGUUGGCAAAAAACUUAAAUUAUAUCAAAAUUAGAAUUCGGGUUCUGUCUUACAAAUACCAUGUUAAAUAUCAGAAUCACAUGAUAAACUCUAGACAAAUUUCGAGCAUAAUUUCAUGGACCUAUAUGAACCUAAAAGUUGAAACUCUGAACAGAGGAAAAACAAGAUACCGUGAUCUCAAUGAGAUUCCAAUGAAUUGGAUUCAACUCUAACAUCAAGAGGGCAUAUAACUAAUCAAAUAUCAAUAUUGCAAGUUUAAACGGAUACAGAAGACGCAAUAAUCUAAUUUAUUGACGCGGCGCAUAGAAGUUCCAUCUAUUGCAUGACUAAUUUAUUUGCCAUCCUUGUGUCAAUAUCCAACGAGUUGAGAAUUUCAUUCUUGUUACCAAUUUACAUCAAAUAGGAAAAGAAUGGUAAAUACUCAGAAAACUUACAUCACUAUUUAAUGCAUCAGUUGCUGUUAAACGAUCGGCAGGAUCAAUUGAUAGGAGUGUUUCAAUCAGCCGAAGUGCUGAUUGCGGGAAAUCUUUGAAUGUCUCUGCUAUUCGCCUUUUGUACGGCUGCUGGGGCUUAAAUAUGGUUGCAUGAGGCAGCUUUGAUUUUUUCCAAUAUUCUUCAGCGGGGGAUCCGCAUAGCUUAAAUAUUUUAUGCAACUGUUCUACCUGAAAAGAAGACAUGAUUAAAAAACAUUGUAAGUAUACAAUUAAAAUAAUGUGGGGAUAAAGUAUUACUAUAUCACUUAAAAGUGUAACACAAAUAGAAUUGAAGUAUUCAUGACAGAUAUGAACUGCAAACAUGCAACAAAGUAUUAGGCACUGAUUCGGUAUGCUUUAGCAACAACAACAACAACAACAACAACAAAGCCUUUAGUCCCAAACAAGUUGGGGUAGGCUAGAGGUGAAACUCAUAAGAUCUCGCAACCAACUCAUGGCUCUGGCACAUGAUAGCAAGCUUCCACGCACCCCUGUCCAUAGCUAGCUCUUUGGUGAUACCCCUGUCCACACAUAUUCGGUAUGCUUUAGCAUUUCCACUAAACUUUCUGAGACAAACUCACACGUAUGAUUUUCAAGUAUGCAGUCUAAAUAUUUGCAAAGAUACUGGUAGCCAAAAUUUCAACUCCAUUCUUGUCCAAAAUGACAGCUUUUAUAGGACCAAAGGGCAUAUAUGAUAAAAGAGUAAAGGUUAUAACAAAGUAAUAAGAGCUAGAAUAAUCUUUAACAUUUACUCCAGUGGUUUUUAUAGCAGUGAUAACAUAAAAAUUGUUCUUCACCAUGUUCUAUGUUGCCACAUUUCGAGGAAAACUGUUAUGCCCGAUGACCAAUAAAGAACAGGGGCGUACCCAGGUUCAACUACCCGGGUGCACAGGACACGGGUGCAAGAUUGUUUUCUUGGUAAUUUUUGUGUAUAGUAUAGUGUGUGACACCACAUUUUUGGAUGGGAAAUAUGUGUGGUUUUACACUGAGACACCGGGUCAAUUUCUCUCUGGUUCCGCCCCUGAUAAAGAACAACAUAAUAUGUGUGGUUUUACAGUGAGACACCGGGUCAAUUUCUCUCUGGGUCGGCCCCUGAUAAAGAACAACAUUUGGAAGUAGUGCUUAUUCUAUCUGAACAUGCUCUAAAUUGUAUAUCAUUUUCAUCAGCAAGGCCAUCUUGCACGAGACCUGCCUUAAAAUGUUAACGAGGUUUGCAUGGAAUGGUUGACAAGCUAUGAACAGUACACCAGCAAAAUCACACUUGACAGAAUCAACUUUAGUAACAUUUGUGGGAAAAAGGCAAGUGUUCCAUAGCUAACCUCGGUCCGUCCCGGCAUAAUAGGCUUCCCAGCCAGCAGCUCGGCAAGGAUACAUCCGGCACUCCACAAGUCCACGCCCACUCCAUAAUCUGUAGCACCCAACAGCAGCUCUGGUGGCCGGUACCAGAGUGUCACCACGCGACUGGUCAUCGGUUGCUUAUGGUUCGGGUCGAAGAACGACGCCAGACCAAAGUCCCCAAUCUUGAGCACACCGUCGUCAUCCAAGAGCAGAUUCGAGCCCUUGAUGUCACGGUGCAGCACUCCCUGGUUGUGGCAGUGCUCCAACCCUGACAGCAGCUGAUGCACAUAGCACUUGACCUGCGGGGCAUAAACACCUCGGUCAGACUCGACUAGCUACACCACAGCACACUCUAAGUAAUAUAAUUUGUCACUAUGUGGCUGCUCCAGCUAAGUGGGAUCUUGACCUGGGGCAGUGUGAACUUGAUGUCGGGGCUGGCGGCGAGGCCGGCGAGGUCGUGGACCAUGUAGUCGAAGACGAGGUAGAGGCUGCAGGACAUGCGGGAGGUGACGAGGCCGUAGAGCUUCAUGACGUUGGGGUGGUCGAGGCGGCGGAGGAUGAGGAUCUCCCGGGCCAUGAACCGCACGCUCUCGGGCUCCAGGUUGUCGAACCGCACCUUCUUGAGCGCCACGAUCUUGCCGCUCAGCGAGUCCCGCGCCUUGUACACAUUGCUGUACGUCCCCUGCCCGAUCUGAAACACCGCCGGGCUCGCUCGUCAGACCCAAAACAAAACAAAAAAAAACACGAAAUUCCUCCGGCGGGCGCUGCUGCCGCGGCACGGAUCACGGGGGAGCGGGGGGCGCACCUUGUCGAUCUUCUCGAAGGUGUCGGCGCGGCGCGGGGUCCAGCCGUUGAUGGCCUCGCCGGCGACGGCGGAGAGCCAGGCGGGCCAGCCAGCGGCGACCUGCUCGCCGCGCGCCUUGUUGGCGAAGCUGCCGCCGAGGCGCACCUCCGGCCCGUGCCGCGACGACCGGGACCGCCGCUCCCGCUUCACCGGCGCGGCGACGGCGACGGCGGCCUUCUCGCCAGCCUGCUGCCCCUCCCCCGCUGCCCCCGCGGCCGCAGCGGCGGCAUCGGGGGCGGCCCCCUCCUGCUUCGGCGGGGGGUUCCGGCGGCGGGCGGCGUCGGGGCUGGGGGUGGAGGCGGCGGAGGGGCGGCCGUGCACGCAGCCCAUGGGGACGGACGGACGGGUCCUCACCGGAGACGGCGCAUGCGGGCGGGCGGGCGGUGUCGCCGGGAGGCCGCGCGCGNNNNNNNNNNNNNNNNNNNNNNNNNNNNNNNNNNNNNNNNNNNNNNNNNNNNNNNNNNNNNNNNNNNNNNNNNNNNNNNNNNNNNNNNNNNNNNNNNNNNNNNNNNNNNNNNNNNNNNNNNNNNNNNNNNNNNNNNNNNNNNNNNNNNNNNNNNNNNNNNNNNNNNNNNNNNNNNNNNNNNNNNNNNNNNNNNNNNNNNNNNNNNNNNNNNNNNNNNNNNNNNNNNNNNNNNNNNNNNNNNNNNNNNNNNNNNNNNNNNNNNNNNNNNNNNNNNNNNNNNNNNNNNNNNNNNNNNNNNNNNNNNNNNNNNNNNNNNNNNNNNNNNNNNNNNNNNNNNNNNNNNNNNNNNNNNNNNNNNNNNNNNNNNNNNNNNNNNNNNNNNNNNNNNNNNNNNNNNNNNNNNNNNNNNNNCUGCCUGCGAGUGAGGGGAACGGGAACGGAACGGAGCUGGUGGCGGUGGGGAUGGAGGAGUGGAACCCAACCGGCUCUGCUUCUGGUUUUGGUUUUGACUCGGACGGGUCUGCUCCUGCACCUGCGCCUGUGUCUCUCUGGAUGGAUGUUUCCUGCGCCCGUGUCACGUUCCUGUCCUACAGAACCGCCACAACGCCGUAGCCCCCAUGCAGGAUGGUUAUAAGGCCAACUCCACCGCGCGACCCAAACAGAGUCCGAUUUGAACAGAUUUUGUCCUUUUGAGACGGCGAUGCGUUUGUCCAUAUUCACGUUUGUUCGUUGGGUCAUGGGUGUGCCCAGCGCGCAGCCACACCCCAAAUCAUGUCCGAAGUGGACGUGAUUAAAAAACAAAAAAGAACUUAAAUAAAAUGCCUAAAAAGUAAAUAAACGCACUUAAAAAAACUUAAAACAUAUAUAAAGUUCACGGCUACAAAACGGCCUAGUUUCAUGCCGCACUUAAACGGCCCAGUUCCAUAACGAACAUAAAAACAAAUUAAAAAAAAAGCCGCCCGCGCUAUUGUCGCGCCCGUCCAUGCCCUGGCCGUCGCCGUCGCCAUCUUCAGUGGCCACCGGUGUCGUCGUCGUCGCUGCAGAGGUCGAGUAGUCCGGCGGCGUUCAGAGAUGGGGCGGCGGUCCGCGAUGCACGGGGGCGGCGGGCUGGAAGGUGACCGGUGCCUGCACCACCUCCUCCCGAGGUGAGGCGUCGGGCUCCGGCGACCGCGACAGCUUGGGGACCAGCUCCACCCCUGGCCAACCAGGCCCGGGUGGAAGGCGGCCACCGGCGGCUCCUCCGUCACCUCCUCCUUCGACAGCAUCUGCAGCUCGGGGAUGGCGACGUCGCCGGCCGCAGACAUGGCCACCGUCUCCUCGAGGGCCGACCAUUUGCGCUCAUCGUGCGUGUGCAUGGAGUCCUCCAUGACACGCGCCAUGAGCCGGGCCUCCUCCUCCGCUGUCAUGCGAGGAGGUGGAGGUGGUGACGGAGAUGGGGAAGGCGACGGCGUGGGCGUCAGGCCGCGCACCCGCGUCCGCCCGUGCACCUCCCGACGUGGCCGCCGUGGCCCCGACACCGUGCCGGCGAAGUAGGACGCGCGCCGCACGUCGUGCUCGUCCUGGAGCCAAGUGUCCCACGGAACGGAGUCGGGGCGUACCUCUCGUCGUCGAAUAGGUCGUCGGUGAGGAGGCGGCGACGGCGCUUGAUCUCAUCGCGCCGGGCACGGCCGCUCGCUGGCACCGGCAGGAUGGGACCCGAUCCGCGGAGAGGUGCCAGUUGUUAGGGAGGUGCACGUAGCUCCAUGAGACCGGCGUCCUCGUCUCCCAGUACAGAAAGGACGGCGAUCCUUCGUUGUGCGGAUGACAGGUGGGGCCAUCCGCCCGUGCGCAUUUAUGUUGGCGGGUGGGAGGUAGGUAGCCGCCUGUCACGCGGACCCGACGCGGACGUUUGAAGCGUCUGUUCGCUGUCUGCCGCGACCCAAACCCAGCGCAAGUUUACGCUUGAAAUGGGUCGGACUGGACACAAAACGGACCAGAUGGGUCCGGGCCGUCGCGCGCUGGCCCGUCUCGUUUGUCCGUUUUACCUCAAACGGACGGGACCGGACAAAAUGGGGUCGCGAGGUGGAGUUGAUCUAAGGAAGAGAAAAAUGCUCCCUCAAAGAAAAGAAAGACCAGAUGGAGUUGGUCUAAGGAAGAGAAAAAUGCUCCCUCAAAGAAAAGAAAGAGGAAAAUGCAUCGUAACAAAAAUAAGUUGACAAAUACUUCCUUUAUUUCAUAAUGUAAGACAUUUUUUGACAAUUGGACGAAGGGAGUAAAAUGUAGCAGUAUUUGACUAUUCGUUUGCGUUUCUUUUCCUCUUCUCGCGAUUUCGUUUGUUUUUUACCGCCUUGGAUCCGGAUGGCAUUUUUCGUGAUGUUGACGUGUCCUUGAGAAGGGCAUGUCGACCGGUAAUCGGUGUGCAGACGGUUAUAUUUUGUUUGCAGAGGGGGUAUAAAUGUUAUGGAAGUAUGUUCAUGAUACGUCUUGUUUUGUAGUAGUAGUUUCUUUUCUUUAUAGCAUGUCGAACUUAGAAUGCUCAGUACAAUUUCAUAAAGGGCUUACAAUUUCUUUAUAGCAUGACGUAUCCUCGAGAAGGGCAUGGUGAUAUUUCAUGGUGUACGCGCGGUGUAUGUACAUCUGCGGUUGUAGACGUCAACGUACAAGAUAAAUGCCCACAUACCCUUGACUGCGAGAGGGUUCUCGGUGAAAGCGAUGGCAAAUUCAGACUUAGUAGUCGCUAUAGGUUGUGUGCAUGGAUCCGUCAUGUUUUUCAUGAAUAAACUAUGUGACGGUGAUACGGUAUAGAUGAUGACUCAUUUGCAAAUUUAUGUUUUGGGGGAAGAAAUCUUUUGGUCGAAAGGUCAAGAAUUUUUGUUCUCAUGUAAAAUUCCCUCUGGAUCCAUUUAAUGAAAUCAUAACCAUGUUAAAUUCUUGAAAUGAUCCCCACCCAUGGUGAGCCAUAUACAUUUUUCUAUCAUGGGAUGAUUGCUUCCUCCUCUUUGGAUUUUUGCUUCUCCUUUUAAGGUAUGUGUGGCAGCGCAAUCAGGCGGUGUCGCCCGGAACAGAGGAAGGGGGGCGAUUCCAAGGCGGCGGGAGGGGGUGAGGCGAGGGAAGGGGAGGGGGAGGUGAUAGUGUUAGAAGUAGUAAAGUUGUGCUUGGCAACCUGCGAGUGAGGGAAAGGGGGACAGAGCAAAGAUGGUGGGGUGGAGGAGUGGAACCCAACUAGUUUUGACUCCGACGUGACAAGUCUGCUCCUGCAUCUAAAUCUUUCGUGGAUGUUUUUUGUGCAUGUGACACAUUCCUGUCCUACAAAACCACCACAACUCAUGUAGGAUAGUCAAGGAAGAAGAAAAUUAUAUUAAUAAGAUAGUUAAAUAUAUCAAUAUUGAUCAUUAUUUUGUGUUUUCUCUUGACGGCUAUUUCAGGUUGUACUGCAUCGGAUCCAAAGUAUAAGUUCUUCGUGAAAAUGACAUACUCUUCGGAAAGGUAUGUCCGCGAGUAAUCCCUGAGUGAACGUAUUGUCUUGAAUGAAAAUAAUUCCACAUGAUAAAAGGAUACUCGUGAUAAACGCACUAGUAUGAAUUUGAUAGUUUGGGCGCAAUUAAUUUGAUUACGGAUGGUCAAACUUGGGAAACGUCUGCAUAAUAUACAGUUGUGAAGGACUUUUUUGAGCGAAAGUCGUCAAAGAAAGCUCUGACGGUGAGAAAUUACGGACUUAAUUUUCAGAUCAGACGUAGUAUAAUAUAUAAAAAAUAGACAAAAUGGUAUUCGAUGUGUAUGUGCAUAGUACUAGGCGUCAACGUACACAAUAAAUGCACACAUACGCUUGACUGAGAGAGGGUUCUCAUCGAAACCGAUGACACGUUGAGACUUGGUCGCCAUAGGGUGCGCAUGGACCAGAGACGACGCCAAAAAUAUUUUAUGGAUGACUCCGUGACCAGUAGAGAUAACGACACAUUUGUAAAUUUAUUAUGUUUUCGGUGAAGACAAUUUUGCAUCGAAUGGUCAAGGAAUUUUCUCAUGUAAAUUUUCCUCCUAAUCCACUUAAUAAAACCACAUGCAUGCGUAAAUUCCUGAACCCAACCGUCCUUGUUAGACCAUAGUAUAGUAAUAUAGUAUAAUUUUCUAUCGUGCAUGAUUGCUGGCUCCUUUUUGGAUUUUUGCUUCCCCUUUUGAGGAUCUUGUGAUAUUCUUUUCCCUUUUUUCUAGGGAGACUUGUCCAGCCAACAAUAAGCCAAAGGCUGGAUAAUAAUGAAAUGGAAAAAAUAGCAUAAAGGCCUAUUGCUUGCAAUUUAUAUUAGGUUGCGGAGAUCACGCUAGGGAGGAGGCAAUAAGGCAUUAGGAUUAGGGUGAUGCAUUCCGGGCUUUUAGGUGUAGCCGAAAGCCAAAAAUGCUUUAAGCCUUUAACAGCCUUACAUACAAUAAUAAACAAGUAAAAACAUCCACUUGUGCUUAGCAGGAGCUUGACUGCACACGUCGUUCUCGCCCGGCAUUUCAUACGCUUUUCUGCACAUUGUCAACAUGAACAACCGGAAAUGGACAAGAACCACGUACUUUCAAAAAAAAAGACAAGAACCACGUAUGUACUAUCCUAAUCCAACUUGGCACGUAAUGGAGUACUUGACAGAUACAUAUACUGUUUUCUUUCCAAUAGAAAAUUGGAAAUUGGAAAGUAGCAGUAGAUGCCGAAUUGACCUGACAGCAAAAUCCUUGGCAGUGGCUUGGAUUGUGCUCCUUCCAUGCCACAAUGUAGCGCGCCUAAAUUUUUUGAGAUUAAUUUUGACAAUAAAUUAGACUAAUAGUACAUAAAAUAUUUUACUGAAAAAUUAUACCUUUGAAAACUUCUUUCGAAUAUGAAUUCAAAGAUAUCUGUCAUGCUCUCGCCGCAGUCAUCCAUGUUGUUUAAAUUUUGGUCAAAGUUAAAUCUCAAAAUACAUGAGCACACUAUAUUAUGAAAUGGAGGAAGUGGUAAUAGUAGCCAUUUGUAGGACGGGCUUAGAGUGAACGACGACGGUGACCCGCAGCAGAAUGCUCUAUCUGUCUUUCUCUCAAAUUACACUACUACUACCUCCGUCUUGGCUUAUUGAUUCUCUUCGUAUUUUGUGUCAAAAUUUAAUCAUAGAUUUAACUAACAAAAUAUUCGUGUAUAUCAUAAAAAUUAUACUACUUAUUGUGACAUGCAUGGAAAUUUUGUUAAUUAAAUUCGUAGUCAAAAUUUGGCAUAAAAUACCAAGGUGACCAAGUAGUACUGUUCAUCUCUGAAACUGUCCGUGUGUGGAUCCCAAAGAAGUGAAGUCGUCCAGAAAUGAAGGAAGGAAGAAUUGCCUCGGAAGGGAGGAAGAUGUAUGCACUGGACACCACUGGUAGUACUACUAGCUUCCUUGAGUUGAGUUGGGGCUUGGAGUUGGAGUACGGAGCCAACCCUUAGAGCAUCUAUAGCAGAUUUCUUACAAACGCGGAAACUGUAAAAUCCGGCGACUACACGAGUUUGGCCAUUUUUUGGGCCAAACCAGAGCCCGUAUAGUCGUUGAACCCGUAAAAGAUUUUACGGUGGCUCGCAAGCUGCCCCCCGUACGUGGUAUAUCUACGGGUUUGGGGCGACUAUACGGGGCGAAACCCUUCCGCCGCUGCGACUUCCUAAUCCCCUCUCCCAUUUUUCGCCACCGGUAAGCUAAAUUCGUCGCCGCUCCCACCAUGUGGCGCGGGAUGUGGAGCUCGGGCCGCCGCUCCGGUGGUAGCGACGACCCCGAGCGACAACGGUGUGUUAGAGCAGACGACGCAAGGAAGUGAGCCGCGAAGAAGUACACGAACCGCUGCCUAGAGUCGCCGCUGUCGCUCCUCCGCCGCGAGACGGAGGAGUACGACCGCAGGCAGACACGUCAGCCCUACGGCGCGGGCAGCUCCUCUGCCGGGAGGUUGAGCUCCCGUACGCCACUCCUCAUGCCGAUGAAAAGGGAGUCGGAGGAGCUCCCGCCGCUCCGGGUGGUGAAGAGGGAGCCGGAGGAGCCGGUGCGGCCCGGCAGUGGCGUCAUCGGCCCGGGGGAUUUCCUCCCCCCAAAUGAGGCGGACAUCUUCGAGCGGGCCAUCGUCGCGCGCAGUACGCGGGAGGAGGAGGAGAUGGAGCACCGCCGUCGAACUCUAGGCGAGCUCGACAACGUCCUCCUUGAGCAGGGGCUCACCAAGGCGCAGGACUUCGACGCCAACCUCGAGGGAUGGCGCCAUGAAGCCAAGGCGCAAUACGACAUCUACGUCGACCUCGUCUCCUCCUCCGAUGACAACUGAACUCCUCCGCCGUUGCAGCGUCGCCACUGCAGUGUCGCCGCCACCGAAUGGCUUUGGUGAGCCAAAUUUUGGCAGUAGGGUCUACGGUGGCUGCCGCUCCUUCGAUCUACUUUGUAUAAAAAUGCUAUGUAUGAUAUACGUAUGAUGACCAGAUACUAUGAACGCUGCUAGUUCUACUGAAGUAGUUCGAUUUCUACCACAAAGUUCAGAUUUCAAAAAUUUACAGGUUCAUUUGAUGUUUCUGUUCUAUCAACACUGUUUUCGGUCCGCAUCCAACGCAUUCUGCGAUUUACAGGUCCGCGUUUUAAGAGAUGCUCUUAACGACGCGGGACAGCGAUGCCCCUUCUGCCGGAAAUCGGCUUGAUCCUCUUCUCUUCUGCUCAGCUGUACACUGUUCGUUUGUACUACUACUAGUAAGAGCAUUACUAGUAGUACCUCUAAACUUUGAAACCUUAAAAAUAACCGCUUUUUUCUGGGUUGCAACAAAAAAAAUGUAAAGACUAGAAUUCCUAAACCCUUAAACCCUAAAAAAAAAAGUAAGGUCCAACCCUCAAACCCAAUUCCAAUCUGUAGAAGUGAGGGUUGGAGAGGGGCACUCGACCCCAACCUGCACUCCCUUCCCCCGUCGCGCGGGAGGGAAAUUUCCCGUCCCCAACCUCCCGCCUUCUCCCUCCCAAGCCGUCGGCCGUCGCCCGCCGCCAAUCCGGCCGGCCCCCGCCUCCCCUCGACGCACGCUGGCCAUCGCCGGCUGCGCCACACUUCCCGUCGCCNNNNNNNNNNNNNNNNNNNNNNNNNNNNNNNNNNNNNNNNNNNNNNNNNNNNNNNNNNNNNNNNNNNNNNNNNNNNNNNNNNNNNNNNNNNNNNNNNNNNNNNNNNNNNNNNNNNNNNNNNNNNNNNNNNNNNNNNNNNNNNNNNNNNNNNNNNNNNNNNNNNNNNNNNNNNNNNNNNNNNNNNNNNNNNNNNNNNNNNNNNNNNNNNNNNNNNNNNNNNNNNNNNNNNNNNNNNNNNNNNNNNNNNNNNNNNNNNNNNNNNNNNNNNNNNNNNNNNNNNNNNNNNNNNNNNNNNNNNNNNNNNNNNNNNNNNNNNNNNNNNNNNNNNNNNNNNNNNNNNNNNNNNNNNNNNNNNNNNNNNNNNNNNNNNNNNNNNNNNNNNNNNNNNNNNNNNNNNNNNNNNNNNNNNNNNNNNNNNNNNNNNNNNNNNNNNNNNNNNNNNNNNNNNNNNNNNNNNNNNNNNNNNNNNNNNNNNNNNNNNNNNNNNNNNNNNNNNNNNNNNNNNNNNNNNNNNNNNNNNNNNNNNNNNNNNNNNNNNNNNNNNNNNNNNNNNNNNNNGGCAGGCUGGCCUCAGGCCUCCUCGAGCUCUCCUAGCCGCCGCGCCAGAGGCCAGGCGGGCCAGAGGCAGCCGCGCCGCCGCCCCGAGCUCCUCGCAAGUAUGCCUCCUUUUCUUUCUUCUUGUUUUAUUUUUUCCUUUCUGAUUCAUUGUUGGCACUCACAAUUUAUUGUUUGUUGUAUUGUGUAGAUGGAGGUGAACAACGACGCCAUGGACUCGUUGUCCGAUUCAUCGGGUUGGUCGUCAUCCGACGAUUCGGACAUCGGGGAGUUGUUGCAAGACGACGACGUCGAGAUGAUGAGCCUCCUCAUCGACGUGCAAUCGUUUGAAAACCGCGUGAAGCUGAUGGAUCAGAGGAGAGGGUCGAAGAUGGGGCGAGUCACCAUCUACCGGAACCGCGCUCUCGGACACGAGCAUUUGAUGGAAGACUACUUCACGGAGGUACCUACAUACCCUCCUCGUCUCUUCCGCAGGAGGUACCGAAUGCGGCAUAGUUUGUUUGUGAAGAUUGUCACGGAUUGUGAGGCCGCCUCCUAUUACUUUAAACGUCGUAGAUCCGCCGCCGGUAUCAUGGGGUUUAGUGCAUAUCAAAAGAUAUCGGCGGCAAUGCGGGUACUCGCUUAUGGCAUACCCGCGGAUAUACCGACGAGUAUCUUCGCAUUGGGCAAGAUACAACCACGGAGUCAGUCCGUAGGUUUGCCAAGUUGGUCAUCCGGUUGUACUGUGAGCAGUAUCUUCGGGCACCAAACGAGGAAGAUACAAAUAGAUUAAUGGAAAUGAAUGAAAAAGGGGGAUGGCCGGGGAUGCUAGGUAGUCUUGAUUGCAUGCAUUGGAGGUGGAAAAAUUGCCCAAAGGCAUGACACGGAAUGUAUUGCGCUAAAAGCCGUGAUGCUACCAUUGUGCUUGAGGCCGUAGCAUCUCAGGACACAUGGAUUUGGCAUGCAUUCUUUGGGUUGCCGGGAACACUCAAUGAUAUCAAUAUCCUCAAUAGAUCUCCUUUGUUCAAAAGAUUAAUUUCUGGGGAUGCUCCACAAUGCAACUACAAAAUCAUGGACAAUGAGUACUCAAUGGGAUACUAUCUCACCGAUGGCAUCUAUCCCGAAUGGGCAACUCUUGUGAAGUCCAUCAAGGAGAAAAAUGGGGUGCCCUUAACAAGAAAAGAGGCUCAUUUCACCAAGGCACAAGAGGCAGCCCGCAAGGAUAUUGAGAGAGCUUUCGGUAUUUUGCAAGCAAGGUUUGCCAUAGUUCAUGGUCCAGCUCGGUUUUGAGACAAAAAAACCUUGGUGAACAUCAUGAAAUGUUGUGUGAUUCUACACAACAUGAUCCUAGAGGAUAAGAGAGGGUUAAACCUCCCUUGUUUCUAUGACAAUGUUGGUACCCGUGUGCAACCGGAAAGAAACCCUUCUCGCAUACACGCUUUUCUUCAAGCACAUCGUGAGAUUGAGAAUGCAACCACUCAUGGUCGGCUACGGAAUGAUCUAGUAGAGCACCACUGGCAGUUGGAUGGGCGGCGCAUUGGCCCAUGAUGUAUCUUUGUUUUACUUUUCUAUGUCCUAUUUGAUUCGAACAAUUAGUGUAAUUUGCUCAAACAUUGUUGUAAUAAUUUGAAUGAUUAUUGUUUUAUUCGGUGUUGUAAUAAUAACUAGAAUGAUUAUUGUUUUAUGUCAAAUGUGAUGGAAUUUGUGAUAUGUCAUAUGAUGAAAUGUGUGAUAUAUGAAAUGACAGUUUUAAAGGUUGGGAUUAAGGCAAAGACUAGAACCCUCAAAUCCAACCCUUAAAGCAGUUUAAGGGUUGGGUUUGAGGGUUCUAGUCUUUGCCCCUGUUUUUCAACCCUUAAAAGUGUCAAAAACUGACACUUCUCAACCCUUAAAAAACUGCUAUAAGGGUUUAAGGGUUCUACUAGUAAUGCUUUAACUGGUACUACUGCCAACAAGAAUCAGCAAUGCCUGAAUCCAAGAAGAGUCUGUCUAUUACUAGUAGUGUUCAUUUUCAGAACAAAAGGAAAAAAAAGAUAGAAGCCUCCGUCUGAAAAGUGAAAACUACUUGCCCCUGAGCCAUGUCGAGAAAAGAAGCAUGCUCCAUAAACCAUGGAUUGCCAUGCAAUUUUUUUAAUUUUCUUUAAAUGGAUGAUUGUUCAGUACUAUCAUGAGCCGUGUUAUUUUUUCUUUUCCUUUUUGGCUGACCCGUAUGAAUGAGUGAAUGAAUGAAUAAUGGUCCUUUCUCCCUCUCAUUUUCUCGGUUUCCACGCGGGAUUAAUGAAGGUGUGUGAAUGUGGCGAGGAGACAUGUUCAGCCGAGUGUGCAGCGGGCGGCGCCCUCGGCUGGUGCGCCGCUUCAAUGGCGGAGGCAGCGUGAGGUCGUCCGCCUUGAGCCGUCUUCAAUGCGGAGCAACGCGCUCUACAGUGGCAUGAAUACGGGCAGCUGGCGCCUGUCAGGAGCGUCAGAAGCGGGCUUGGGAACGGUCCGGACUCCCGCAAACCUUCUCACUUUUGUCUUUGGUUUGCGAGAGAAAUCGCAUCCGGACCGCUCCACGGACCGAUACAUGUCGGCGUUGGAUGACUCCCAUGAUUCGGACUGCUUGGUCCGAACGAUUGCAGGAGAUUUACGAGUCUGCCCUAAAAAGUACUCCCUCCGUUUCUAAAUAUUUGUCUUUCUAGACAUUUUAAAUGGCUACCAUUUAUGGAUGUAUGUAGACAAAUUUUAAAGUAUAGAUUCACUCAUUUUAUUCUGUAUGUAGUCACUUGUUAAAAAUAGUUAGAAAAACAAAUAUUUAAGAACGGAGAGAGUAGUAGUCUCGAGUAGCAAAAUUGACCUGACAGCAAAAUUCUUGCCGGUGGCUUGGAAUGUAGCACCCGUUUCCAUUUGUAGGACGGGCUCGGGGUGAACGGCGACGGCGACAGGCAGCAGCAUGCUCUCUCCAUCUCUCUCAAAAUAUUGUUCAUCCCUUUCUCUGAAACCUCUCUCAAAAUAUUGUUCAUCCCUUUCUCUGAAACUAUGUGAGCGUGCGGAUCCCAAAGAAGCCCAUCCAGAAAAAAAGAAAGGAAGAGGAAGAGUUGCCUUGGAAGAGAGGAAGAUGUCUGCACUGGACACCACUGGUAGAGGCUUGAAGUACGGAGCCAACCCUUGACGACGGGGGGACAGCGACGCCCCCUCCGCCGGAAAUCGGCUUGGAUCCUCUUCUCUUCUGCUCACCCGUGCAGUGUUUGUAGUACUACUAGUAAUAGUAACCGGCACUGUACUACCAGCAAGAAGCAGUUCCUGAAUCCAAGGAGUAGGAGCGCUUAUUCUUCAGAAGGAAAAGGAGAAAAUAGAAGCCUCUGCCUGAAAACACUUGCCCCUGUGCCGAGUUAAGAAAAGAAGUACUCCCUUCGUUCCACGAUAUAGUGCGCAUAGAUUUUCUGAGAAUUCAUCUUUAUAUACUUUGACCAAGUUUAUAGAGCAAAGCAUGUACUCGGUGAUCUAAAACGUCUUAUAUUAGCUGACAGAGAAAUAUCUUAUUAUAUACUACUACAUCAUAAGACGUUUUUUUUUCAUAUUAUAUAUAUUUCAUAUCAUAGUUAUAAAUAGUUUUAGUAUAAAAUAAAAUUGGUCAAAAUUACUAGUAGUAAAGUUUGACUUUUCAGAAAAUCUACAUGCACUACAUUAUGAAACAGAGGGAUCGUCAUGCAAAAAAAAAUAAAAAAAAAAGAAUACUGACACGUAUGAAUGAUGAUUCAGUAGCACCAUCAUGAGCCGUGUUAGGAUUAUUUUUUCCCCUGACAAGCAUGAAUAAGUGAGUGAAUGAAUGAACGAUGGUCCUCUCUCCCUCUCUCUCACUGGGGCAUAUCCUGUGGCACCUUGAAUGAUGAUGGCCACCUCACACUGGCAAGUGGCGAGGAGGAGGAGGGGGAUCCAAGGACUGAGUGUGAGAGGAACCGCACAGUGACUGCCACAACGGACCCACACAGACUCAUCACUCCCUCUCCCUCUCUUUAAGUUUGAUUCUGAUCUCCUCUGCCCAUAGUUGACCGACUGACUAUUCAUCAGGGGAGGAGAAGAAAAGGAUCGAGUCCCCGUCCCCGACUGCUGCAGCGCAGUGAGUGAACGAUUCUCCGGGGCACUCGUUCCUCUUGUCAUCUGGUGCGCGGACAGAUUCAGUCUUAGUUUCAGUUACGCUCCACUGACGCAGUAGCAUGUACUAGGACUAGGUGCUAGCUAUGGUUAGUUCUUAGUUGUACGCCUGCAUCAUGGAUUGGUUCACUGGUUGCUGCAAGAGGUUCAGGUAGAUUAUCUGCCUGAACUGAACCAUGCAGUGAUGCUGCUUUUGACUUUCUAGGAUCUAGUGCCUUUUCCUAUCACUGGUCUAGGUCAAUCUCUGGCUGAUUGGGGGUGUUGAUCUUAAAAUAUAAUGGCGGCAGGUUAGUGCUACAUUUGAGUUUGACUGACUGUUAGCAAGCCCCCCAAAGUGGUUUUCUUAUCUCUGGCUGAUUGAGAGUGUUGAUUUUAGAAUAUAAAGUUAGAGGUGAUGCACGCAGCAAAAAAGAAUUGGCUGGCGGCGGCAGCAGGUCACCGUUACAUCUGACUGACUAUGAAUCACCAGGCCCUGAAAGUAUUUUAAUCACCCAUGGUUGGUGAUGCAUGCAACAAAAAAGAAUGUCCAGUUGAGUCUAGUCUCCAACCCUGCACAGCAGGUGCUGAUCGAACCUGCUCUAGAUAGUGGAUACAAUGAACAAAAAUGGCAAUUAACGACAGAUAGAUAUACUAUUAGUUACUACUCCCUCCGUUCCAAAAUAUAUGACUCCACUUUGUACUACAGAAUGAACAUAACAGAUUGCUAUAGCAGAAUGACACAGCGCCGCCGGCAUCAACCGCUGGAGGCUCCUCGCCGUAAUUGGAUUUCUUCUUCUUUGACUUCUUUCUCCUGCUCGCCAUCCUGUUGAGCUGCCUCUGCAGUAGGUUCUUCCUCUUGGUUUUUCCUCUUCUUUGAAGCCACUUCUGACCUCUUUGGGUUCCUCCCUCUCCCUCUCUUUAAGUUUGAUUUUGAUCCAAGGAGUGAGUGUGAGAGGAACCGCACAGUGACUGACACAAUGGGCCCACACAGACUCAUCACUCCCGCUCCCUCUCUUUAAGUUUAAUUUUGAUCUUCUCUGUCUAUAGUUGACCGACUGACUAUUCAUCAGGGUCGAAGAAAGAAAAAAAAUCCAGUCCCAAAAGUGUGUGGACAGAUUCAGUUUCAGUUUCAGUUACACACUCUACUGACGCAGUGGCAUGUACCACUAGGUGCUACGGAAAGACCGUCUAACACGAAAUCAUAAAUAAGCUUGACCGAUGCAUUUGGAGCUAUGGUUAGUUGUGCGCUUGCAUCAUGGAUUGGUUCAUUGGUUGCUGCAGCUGCUUAGAUCAAGGCCUCCUUUGGUUUUGGUUUGUAGGAAAUUUUAUGAAUUCUAUAGGAUAGGAUUUACAAAGGAAAAAAAUUCUUUUGAAGCCCUUUGAUUUGUAGGAAUGGAUUUCUAUUCCUAUUUAAGAUACGAAUCAAUCCUUCACAUUUUGGAGAGAAAAAAAAACAUUAGCUUAGACUAAAUGAAAAAAAAUAUAUCCUAUGCUCAAAUGACAAUCUUUUUUCUCUAUAGGAAUUAAGAUGCAUGUCAUCUCAUUUCUUAUGAUUUUUCUAUUCCUAUAACAUUCCUAUCUUAUGAACCAAAAGAGGGGGAGCUCAGGUAGAUUAUCAACCUGAACCAUGCAGUGAUGCUCCUUUUGACUUUCCGGGGAUCCGGUGGUUUUUCUUAGUUAUCACUGGUCUAGGUCAAUCUCUGGCUGGCUGAUUAGAGACGUUGAUCUUAAAAUAUAGGGGCGGCAGGUUACAGAUACAUUUGACUGACUGUUAGCAAGCCCCAAAAGUAUUUUUCUUAUCACCGGUUUUGGUCAAUCUCUCGCUGAUCAGGAGUGUUGAUCUUAUCUUAAAAUAUAAAAUCAGAGGUGAUGCAUGCAACAAAAUAGAAUUGGCUGGCGGCAGCAGGUCACCGUUACAUCUGACUAUGAAUUACCAAGCCCUGCAAGUAUUUUAAUCACCUAUGGUUUGUGAUCCAAACAAUGCGACAUUAGAGGUGAUGCAUGCAUGCAGCAAAAAAUCCAGUUGAGGCUAUUUUCAACCCUGCACAGCAUGUGUUGAUCGAAUCUGCUGACUGGAUAAUAAUGAACAAAAAUGGCAAUUAACGACAUAUAGAUAUACUAGUAUUAGUUACUACUCGACAGAAUGAACAUAGCAGAUUGUUAUAGCAGAAUGAACCGCUGGUUAUGUUACGCCUGUAGUCAGUUUGUCACGUGGAUCUUGAUUUCUUCAAAUGAAAUCGGAGGGGGAAACCUCUCUUUUGCUAAAAAGAAAGAAUGAACAGCUGGAGGCUCCUCACCGUGAUUGGAUUUCUUCUUCUUUGACUUCUUUCUUUCUCGUGUCCGCAAUCCUGCCUCCUUGGUAGGUUCUUCCUCUUGGUGUUUCCUCUUCUUUGAAGCCACUUCUGACUUUUUUGGGUUUCUCCAGUGGAUUGUCAAACUCGUUGAAAAAGCCUUCAGCUUAACCACCAGUUAUACAAUCAAGCAAGUCAUUAUCAAUGAUACAGUCCACAGAUAACAUCCUUAAUAUGAACAAACAAAGAGAACCCUACAGGCUACAGCCAAUGCGCAAGAUCUCAGCAAACAGCGAGCCACAUGCCAAAUUAUGGAAUAAGGACCUACAAACUAAGCCUCCCACAUUAAGCUGCCCAGUUAGUAAUCAUCCGACAGUGGAUCCAUCCAGCCAAUGAAAUGUGCAGUAUGUUAGAAUACGUAAUGGGCCUAAUGGCCUGGGCUGGCGGUAUAGCCCAUUAGUCUUAGGGUUAAUUAGAGAUAAGGGUCGCUUAUUUAGGGGUCAAGUAAGCCUUGCUUGGGAGUCAAGUAAACCUCUCUAUAUAAAGAGAGGAGAUGUAUCAAUCUGAUGAAGCAAGAAUUAAGAAGGAAAUCCCUUCCAUCUUGCCCGGCACUGGGCAAAAGGCCCCCGGCCGGUCCUCUCGUGCCCUCCUUCUAGCAGCGCCAUAACAAUUUGGUAUCAGCUAGCUUCGGUUUGAUCAUGUCUUCACCGCCGCCCAACCCGUCUCUUCCGCUGCCGGGAUCCUCCGUCGCGCCCGCCCCCGCCGUCCUCACCCCGGAGGAGGUGUCCGGGGCGCUGCGGGACCUAACCCAGGCAGUCCAGGAGAUCCACCUGUUCUUGGUCGGGUCCUACGGGCCGCACCCGGCCGCGCCGCCCAUCGCCGCCACCGCGCCGCCAUGGCUGCCGUGGCAGCCGCUGCACCAGGCGGCCUCCGCCGCGCUCGCCGGGCCGNNNNNNNNNNNNNNNNNNNNNNNNNNNNNNNNNNNNNNNNNNNNNNNNNNNNNNNNNNNNNNNNNNNNNNNNNNNNNNNNNNNNNNNNNNNNNNNNNNNNNNNNNNNNNNNNNNNNNNNNNNNNNNNNNNNNNNNNNNNNNNNNNNNNNNNNNNNNNNNNNNNNNNNNNNNNNNNNNNNNNNNNNNNNNNNNNNNNNNNNNNNNNNNNNNNNNNNNNNNNNNNNNNNNNNNNNNNNNNNNNNNNNNNNNNNNNNNNNNNNNNNNNNNNNNNNNNNNNNNNNNNNNNNNNNNNNNNNNNNNNNNNNNNNNNNNNNNNNNNNNNNNNNNNNNNNNNNNNNNNNNNNNNNNNNNNNNNNNNNNNNNNNNNNNNNNNNNNNNNNNNNNNNNNNUUCCCCGCCGCGCUUGCCGGGCCGCUGCAGCUGCCAUCCACCGCCACCACCGCCCCACCCUGGCUACAGUGGCAGCCGCCGCUCCUGGCGGCCUCCGCCGCGCCCGGCACUCCGCUGCAGCAGCCACCGCCGGUCAGCUCCAGCCCCGCAUCGCCCGCGCCGGCGGGAGUCCCGAUCCACCAGAUCAAGUUCCCGUCGUCGCCAUUACCGCUUCCCCAUGGCGUCCCCAUCCAGCAGAUCAAUUUCCCGCCGUUGCCGUCACCGCUUCCAGCUUGGAUCACUACCCGCCACGUGUCGGCGGCGGUGAGGCUGCAGGCUGCUGCGCGCUGCCUCCUAGCGCGUCGGCGUGUGCGGAAGAUGCGUGGUCUGCAGCUGCCGCUCCUCCCAGCUGCGCUUCGCUGCGCAAAGAACCUCGAUCUCGUCCGAUGCUUCGGGGAUCUUGGGCAUGCUUUUUUCCCCGCGGGCAGCGACCUCAAAGUCUGCGACAUCGGCGGUUGGGGGGGGGGGGGCGCAGCCCUCGUCAUUCUCCAUCGCAAGCCCUCCACUCUUCUCUGUGCGGUGCAGACCAACAGCCGUCCGGCGGGGAGAAGGCAGGGUGUCACCGACAGAAGCGCACCGCGUAGCACCACUGCAUUCCGUCGUCCGCCGCGAGGGCGCCUCAGCUGGUCGCUCUUGCGACCAGUUCCAGGUGGCAAUACACAUGCACUCCUUUUGUCCAGAUGGUGUCCAUGGGAUCCAGGUGGCUGUACACGUGCACGUCCGACGUGCGGAUGGUGUCCACUUUUUGUUAAGGGGUCCAAAAUAAAUCGUCCCUGUCCAUUUCAGGUUGAGAGUAAUAAAACAAGCCGAGAUGUAAAAGACUUAUUUUUAGGUGUUAGGCUUGUGUUGCGUCGAGUCAUGGUUAUAAGUUGGUUAGGCUGCAGCUCGAGAACAAGCUGCAUGUCUAGGUGGGGUGUAGUGUUAGAGUACGUAAUGGGCCUAAUGGCCUGGGCUGGCGGUAUAGCCCGUUAGUCUUAGGGUUAAUUAGAGAUAAGGGUCGCUUGCUUAGGGGUCAAGUAAGCCUUGCUUGGGAGUCAAGUAAACCUCUCUAUAUAAAGAGAGGAGAUGUAUCAAUCUAAUGAAGCAAGAAUUAAGAAGGAAAUUCCUUCCAUCUUGCCCGGCACUGGGCAAAAGGCCCCCGGUCGGCCCUCUCGUGCCCUCCUUCUAGCAGCGCCAUAACACAGUACUAAAUAAAUUUGCGCAGCAAUUGGUGUGGCAAAAUGUUAACCUGCAAUCUGAAUUCCCUCAGUGAACUUUCAGUGCUAACAUUUGAAAGCAAAGGAAAUAGCAGUGACCAUUGGACCAAGACACACGGCAGUCCGUGAUUAGUUAUAAAAAUAGCAACUGUACAAGUAACUAAUAAGAUUCACGAGAAAAUCAAGACAGGGGCUCGAAUCACUCAACCUUUCUUGCUUUGUCUGACGAGCCAAAAUCCUUCCACAAAUCCUACAAGCCAAAACCACAUGUAGAUAGCUGUUGAUUACAAGGAGUUGAGCCCAGUGGAUAAAGCCAACCAUACUUGAUUCAGUUUAACCAAUAAACACCGGAAAUAUAGGACACCAGUUAACACACUGCAGCGCGAAGGAGAUUAUUUUUACCUAAGACAACAAAUACAGAGUUCAGCUUCAGAGGAUAAAACAGAGCAUUCACCACAAGUGUGCUUUACUGUAACAAGUAAUGCAGAGAGCCCAUGUCGACUUAGCCAUCCUUACUGCUCCAUUGAACCUUUUAUUUUACCGCGUAGUAGAUCACCAGCGCUACGUGUCAUCUGCACUUUCAGUCUCAUAUGUCUGCAAACUGGCCACUUACUGCCUUGAAUCUCUAGUUCUCCACAGUGAUUUUACUUUUCUUUUUGUUGGUGUUCUUUUCCUCAUCAGAUUCGCCAUCGAAAUCAAUACGUAUGCGUGUAGUUAACCUUGAGUGAACAGGAUUGCCCAUGGCUGGCAUGGGAUUAACAGGAGCUGCAACGCCACCACUGGUACUUUGAAAACCCAAAUGCUCUGCAGUUCCACUAUCCUUCCUUCGCUCGGAUGGCUGCGUCGUGGGCGUUUCACUGUCUGGGGUCCCUCCCAUGCUCUUAAUUUUUUGCUAAUCGUGUUGCUCUGGUCAGAUUCAUAAUCAGUUGCAGACCGUGAUGAUGGAGUAGCAGGAGCAGCAAUAAUAUAGGUCGGUAUGCAAGUGUUGGGAAUGCCAGAGAUCUCAUGCGUACUUUCAGAUUCAUUGUAUUGCUCAGAUAGGUUCCGAGGCAAUGGAGCAGCACUGUCGGUGAUAGUUUCAGGAUGGCAACAUCAAUCGGAGAAACCUCAUUUGAUAGGUUAUACUUCUUUGCACGCUCGAUCGGAUCGUAGUUGAUUGGAGAUUCAGGAGCAAACCGUUCUUGAAUCAUGAUCAAAAGCCUCAGCAAACUGUGUCGGAUAUCUAUAGAAAUGUGAUACAUUUCGUAACUGCCCACGGCGUCUGGAGCCAGCAACUGGAGACACAGUACGAGUCUCGGCUUUCAUGCCCAGCACGGCGGCAGAGACCUGCUCGGAAUAAGGCCCUCUGUAGGUGGUCAGAAUCUUGAGGGCAACCUGCCGGACCUCAUUGCAAAAUUCAAGUUUCUCCUGCCUCAGCUCAACCGGAAACUCGUCGGCCAUGGCGGUGCACAUCGCAUACAUGAACUUGGCCUCCUCCGAUGCACAUGAAGCAGGCAGCCGGAACAGCCGGCGGUGAGGCCGCAUUUUGGAAACGCCUCGCUUCUUCCAUGAUCUCCGGGCUCGGGUCACCGGCGAUUCUGGUAGACUCACCGUCGUCGGCCAUGGCAGGGAUGCGGCUCAACGUACAAACACGCCGCGGCGUUGAGACGUGCAGAGGGAUCGUCGACAUUAUUCAGGCCUUCCUCCAGUCUGAAAGAUUCGAAAACACUUUGGAUGUUCUUGUCGUGGUACCUCUUGACUUUCAGCGGAGGCGGCCGCCUGAGGCCUGACAGGAUCGUUUCCCCUGAGCUUCAGGAACUUCUCCAUGGAUAUGCAGCUUCCUGGCGGCAGGAUGAAUCGGCAGAUGAGGAUUCUGAGUAUGGCGAAAUCCAUCGUCUUCCUCGGAUCUAGGCCGACGUCCUCAAUUCCGAGGAUCUUUGGGUCGAUCUCGACGUCCAUCAGAAAGAAAGAAAGGAAGUUUUUUUUUUUUGAUUACUGAACGAAACUACAUCGUUCAUCAGUUGCCAUGGAAGAGAAGAAGAUGAUGUCUGCGCUGGUGGUAGCUUGAGUUGGGGCGACGCCUCUUCAGUUUCUGACACGCUGGACCCACACGGACUCAACUACUGCAAAUGUAUGAUUUGCCCGGGCACUCGUUCUUCUUGGCGGCUGGUGCGUGGGCAGAUUCAGCUACUAGUACGUUCCACCAGUGAAGUACUCCGUGUGUACUGUAGGUGCUAUAUAUGCUUACACUCUGAUACACAAAAUAAAAGAAGAUCUGACCCCUUCUUGCCCAUGCACAGAUGCAUCUGGAGGACUUGAAUGGACAGAGAGAUUUCGAAUAAUCAAAGGAAUCUGUGAGGGCCUACACUAUCUUCACAUGAACCGUAUUCUACAUUUGGACCUCAAGCCCGCUAAUAUAUUGCUAGAUGAUCACAUGGUACCUAAAAUUGCCGAUUUUGGUCUCUCGAGGUGUCUUGAUGAAAAUUCGGCCCACGCUACUACUACCAUGCACAUGUUUGGACACACCGUACGCUAAUCUCUCAAAAGCUCUUCUUUUUCGUUAGGUUUAACUUCAUGUUUGAUUUGAAUAUUCACUGACCAGGCCGACAUAAUCUUCUCGCAGGGGAUAUAUGGCACCAGAAAUAUUAUACGGAGGAAACCUACAAGAUCUAUACAUGUACAUCAGUAACAUAUUUAUGGAUACAUUUGCAUUGAGCGACCUCAGUCGAUGAAGAAUGAGAGGGAUGGAGUUUGUCAGCAGGGGUAAUGUACCUGAUAACCUGAGCCCGAGAAGAGAAGCUCUGUACACCAGGUGACAACUCUUUUGGACAUCACCAGCGUGUAUGGCAUUUCAUCGAACAACUCAGGUGCAAAGGCCAGGACAGAAGUGCACGCUGCCUUCUCGACGGCAGGGCAGAGAAGGAAGGUCAUGGUCGAAGCUGUAGUAGGGCACCCGCCAGCUCGCAGGUGGUUGGUGGCCACCGUCGGCGACGGCGCCGGUGGAGGUUGCGGGCAGCGGUGCCGACUCCGGAGUCCAAAUUUUGUGAGGACUAUGGCUGGGUUGUGUGUACUGUAAUCUGAAGAGCAUGUGCUGUACCUAAGUGCUUCAUAAGCCUAGGAGAAUGACAGACAAGAACACCGAGAGCUGUCUUGUGCAACGUAGUGAAAUGAUUCGCCAGGGCAAUCGCUCUUCUUGGCAGCUGGUGGGUGGGCAGAUUCAGUUUCAGUUACAGUUACACCCCACCGACGCAGCAUUUGCUAGUAGUAGCAGGUAGUUGCAUGAUUGCAUCUUGGAUUUGAGACAGAGAGGGAGGUUACCUACCUGAACCAUGCACUGUUUUUUUUCCUUUUCAGUGGUUUAGGUCAACCUCUGGCUGAUUGGUAAUGUUGAUGAUCUUAAAAUAUAGGGACACAAAAUAUAGGGUCAGCAAGGCCGGUGAAACAAAGAAACAAAACUAGAGCUGUUCCUAUGGUCUGAGAAUCCUCACUGGGAUAAUUAAAGAUAGAGAAAUGAACAAUAUAAACAGAUGUAAAAGACAUUAAGCUAUUGAUCAUAAGCCUCAGAAAGCCGCAGAAAUAUCGUCAUCAGGUAUCUGACUGUAAUUCCAGCAUAAAGCUAAUCAUCAUUGGCUUAAAUUGCGGUACAGACCUUUACAAUGUAAAAGACUAAUAAAAACAAUCGCAUUACUAAAAAAUGUCGGAAGAAAACAAGGCGUAUCAUCAGAAUAUAAAUGCCUUCUCAUCCACAGGAAAAUAGGCAGGUGUCCUAAGAUUGUUUCAAGGUUUCAUCAUAUGAUACUGACCAAACCAGGAAGAAACAAAACAACUGAUAAAAUGUUUUCUAAUGGAUUCAGUUGCAAAGAUGGCAUCAUACAGGCAGCUCAAGCCACCCCUCGGAUCGAGUGUUGGAUUAUGCAUCAAUACCCCCUCACAAUCCAAACAGGUCUUCUACAUUGGAAGGCAAGAUGAAGCAAACAAAGAACAGCCAAGAAAGAUUUGGAGAAAGAUGCUCAGUGGUGGCAAUGUUUCAAUUGGUUCAAUUCUGCCAGCAAUGCCAUGCAUGCAACAACAAGAAACAAUGUCUAGUUGAGUGUUUGUUGUGCAACAACAGCAACAACAAAAAUCUAGUUGAGUGUUGUUCCCAUCCCUGCACAGCAAGUGUAAUGACUAGAUAAGGGAUAAAAUUGGCAAUUAACAACAGAUAAAUAUAUUACUACUCGACAGAAUGAACAUACUAGCAGAUGUUAUAGAUGAGAGCACAGCAUUGGGCCUCUUAAAGUGUCUGCUCACCACUUGCAAGUUUCGAAUUGUAGGGUUCGUCGCUGCUAAUCCUAAUGUGGCAUUCCAUUCUACAUGAACGGCAAAUCCCAAAACUUUCAGACAAAGAUGAUAGUACAGCAUUACACCACAAAUUUCCGCCGUAUCUCCGUGCCGCUCACUCAUCAGCGUGCUUCUUCUUUUUCUUCUUCUCCUUCUUGGCAGACACGUCGAUCUCCAUGGGUGCAUCCUCAGCGUCCAAUUUCUUCUUUUUUUUCUUCUUCUCGCCAUCGGCGUCGGCUGCAGGGGUCUCCUCGGCCUCCUUGCUCUUCUUUUUCUUCUUCUUCUCGCUAGCGUCGGUGACGGCUGCGGGGGUCUCCUCGAUGUCCUUGGAUUUCUUCUUCUUCUUCUUGGACUUCUCUUUCUCCUGCUCGCCAUCCUCUUCAGCUGCCUCCGCAGUAGGUUCUUCCUCUUGGUGCUUCCUCUUCUUUGAAGCAACUUCUGACUUCUUUGGCGUUUCUUCAGUGGUUUGUCCAAGCACAAGAUCUGCUGCUGAGUUGUAAGUCUGACAAUGACAAACAAAUAAGGUCAGGCAAGUUUCAAACUCUAAUUGUUCAACAGUAGUAUGUAUUACUGGGAAAUACAAAGGCUGCUGGUUAAACACAUGCUCUGUGACAGAAUAUGCAGAAUCCCUCUAUUAUGUUAGGUAACAAAAAUAUACAGUGCUCACUUGGACACUCUUAAUUAAGAGCAAGUCUGGUUUUUGCUAUUACAUAACAUAUGUAAUUGUUAGAUCUGCCAGGAUCUUGAUCAAUAAGAACAAAGUCAGUGUAACAUCCUGAUAAUUAUCUUUCAAUUAAAAAAUAAUCUUCUAGUUAAAUGAGAAUUCUACUGUUUUUGACAAAUGACAAUGUUUAAUAACUGGUCUACACUUUGAAACAUAGAGCAAGCCAAAAACAACUUACUUUAGCGGGAGUGAUCAGAGCACCACCACCCUUCCGGUCCUUUUCAUACGCUUCUAUCUUGGGCUUUCCUUUCGUAGAACCAGCAGACCUCCCAAGUUCUUUACCCUCAAGAACUCGGAGCCGUGUUUCAAGCUGUUCAAAGAUUCAAAUAUGAGAACAAUAUCUUAUCUACGGUGUCAAGAAAUUGCCUCUACAGCACGGUAACAAGUACCUUGAUCCUGCUUUCAAGACCCAUGGAGUUAUCGUCACCGUCAGCAAGGGCGUCAUAUCUUAUGGCAAGUGCACUCUUAGCAGCAAGCGAACGAGAGAUCUUUCCCUUGUGCUUGGGAGCCGCCUGUCCAAUUAAUGAUGCAUGAUAGAUGAGACCAUACUUUGGUGUAGCAUGCUUUGUCUUCAGAGCUCUGAAUAAGGCCUGCAGAAAAAUAUAACCAGUUUAAGUCCCUGGGGCUAAAGCUAAAGUUCAGUUGCAGCAAAAAAAUGAUAACUUCAACCACAAAAGCAUGACAGUGGUCAACUACCAGACAUCACGUUCAACUAGUCAAAGAAAGAGGAAUUUAAAAAUUCACAGAAACACACUGUAUGUAAUUCAACAAACCUUCUCUGCCCCCAGAAUCUGAAUCGUGCUGCCAGGCUGCUUCGCCAGAUUCAUCAAACUACCACCAUGGGAAAUAAGGCGAGCGCCAACAAGUUCACCAACAAGUGCAGUCAAGUUGGGAGCAAUGGUAUUCAUUCUACUUUUUAGAUAGUCAUAGAGCUGGGCUCUGUACUCAGAAAGAGCCAGGACUUGAUCACACAGUUCCCUAAUGUUUGAGAGGUCAAGAUCAUUGACUUCUGUUCCCAUGGAAAUUACAGCUGCCUCCUUCAGCUCUGCUUCCACUUCUUCUGGAAGUAUCUAAAAGAAGCAGAAGCAAUCACUUAAUACCAGGUUUCAGGCACAUGCAGAACACAAGUUUGGACAUGUGGACACAGUUUACCUCAGAGAAGUCAAGGUUAACUGCAUUAACACGAUUGCCCAUCAUCUUCACAGCUUUCGCAUAAUGGAUGUUAUCUGCAACAAUUUUUGUGAGCUCCGGAAAGUGCCAACCGUACCAUUCACGGACCCUCAUAGCGUAAGUGUUAAGCUCCUUGUCAAGAUCAUCCAACAAGCCAAUGGCCUGAAUGAUCAUAGUAUCAACCUACAUAAAUGGGCACAAUCAUGAAUUAGUGUAGCUUUACUAGAAGAACACGCAGCCAAAAGAAGAGCAUAACCAGAAGGCAUGCUAGAAAUAGAAGAGCAUAGUUUGUAACAGUGAGCACGAAGCAUGAAAAUAAUUUCAGAGUAAGCAUCACAAUUCUGGGUGCUUUGCAUCAGUAGAAAGCUCACCUUUUCAGGGCUGAACUUGAGUUUAUACCUAGACAAGCUGUGGGACAAUCCUAGGCUCAUUGGACCUAGAUCAUGCUCAGCUAGUCCAGACAUAAGUUCAGUGAGCUGGUUCCUCAGCCCUCUCAUCAGUUCCAUAACAGCAGAGUUGUGAAGGCAAUCAAUUUGCUGCAAAAUCACAAUAAUAUUAUACAACAAUACUGAUCAACGCAUGUGAAUGGAACAGCUGAGUCUCCAAACCAACCAGCUUUUCUUUGAUGGCAUUCCCAAGUUUGGAAUCAGCAACAGCCAAUGUUUCACCAUCACAGUGCUUCUGCAGGAACUUGCGCAGACCCUUGCUGGGCUUGCUAUCAAUCAGCAAAGUUGCGGCUGAAAGAGCAUCAGAAGUAUUUUCAAACUUGUUGAAAGCCUUCAGCUCAACCACCUGAUAUAAAAUCCAUUACGGCAAGUCAGUAAUGAACAACAAUACAGGAGAGAACCCUUAAUAUGAACCAACAAAGAGAACCCUACAAGACAAUGCUGAAGAAUCUCAACAAAACAACAAAGCACCAUUGGUCAUUCAACAAGAAACAUGCGAAAAUACAUCAUAAAGGACGCACAAACGAAGCCUCUCACAUUAAACCUACACAGACCAUCUAGUACAACAGUAUACUAAAUUAAUCUUAUGUAUUAACUGGCUUGGAAAAACUGUAAUUUUCACUGGUAACGUUUGGGGACCCAGUAAAGAUUGUAACUUUAGCAAAGCAGCUACCACAAUAAUACUACAUACACAGGUUUCUGCAUUAACAGAUUCUAUAUGACUGAUUCCAAAACAGCCACAGUAGACUAUAACUAACAAGGCAGUGGAACCGUGACAAGUCAGAGCAAACUACAACACCGAUGAGUAACUCAAAGACAGAGCCA